AGUGUUAUCCUGCCUCACCUCCUCGGUAGAGGUGUAUGGGAAGUCGCGAUCCCUUGGCAGAUGGGUAACAUGACUUGUGGGUAAAGAUGCGCAACCUCUGCAGAGUGUAAAACUGGUAUACUAGCCGUGCUCAUGGUCAUGAGCAGCUCGGACCCUCACAUGAUUAAAUUAUGGAACUAAAUUCAAUUUGUCAUAUGCAUUGCAUCGCAGGUGAGGUUGUUACUUUUGUUCUACUACUUAAUUGGGUUGGUAUUUACUUAUACUUAGUAAUUGCUAAUAAAAUUUUGACCAACUUUAAAAGCAAUGCUCAGCUCUAACCAUCCUCUUUGAUAAGCCUUACACUUCACGUGAGCUCCCACCUUUGGCGAGUUCAUGCACAUUAUUCCCCACAACUUGUUGAGCGAUGAACGUAUGUGAGCUUACUCUUGUUGUCUCACACCCCCCCACAGGUCAAGAACAGGUACCGCAGGAUGAGGCGCAUGAAGGAUGCGGCGAUGUGUUCGUGAGAGGUCUAGUCCGUCGUCUCCCAGUCAACUUUGGGUUGCUGGACUGUUGUCUCCUUAUAAUGUAAUUAAUUAUUUAUUUUGUAUAGAACUCCUAUUAUAUAGUAAAGAUGUGACAUUCGAUCCUGUGUCAUGAUUCAUCAUAUGUGUGAGACUUGGUCCCAGCACACCUGGUGAUUAUAUUCGCGCCCGGGUCUUGGUGCCCCAAAACCCGGGUGUGACAGUUAGUCUCAAAGACCAAUCCAGAUUGUCGUUCUUUUGAAAGUCAUAAGCUGUCUCCAACAAGGGACGGUAAACCGUUAUGUCCGCCAAAUUUAGCGGAUGGAGACGUUCUCUACGCCUCCAGCAAGAGACUCCAAACCAUGCGCUAAAAUUUAGCGGUUGCCUCUGAGACGCUAAGUCUGCCGGACAUACGACCACUCGCUAAACACUAUUCAAUCAUGCGUGCUGCCUCCUCCGUUCACUCCCGCACCCAUGCACCGUACCACUGCCGGCGAGGACUAGCUUGUUGCCGACGCCGGUGAGUGUGUGAUCGCUUAUGAGUGCAUAGUCAUGGGGCUCGUCCCAACCGGCGCAGAGGCCACCGUGCUGGUCAUGGUGUUCGUGUGGCUUUGGUUUCUUGUGUCCAGUUGGAGAGAAGCUGCAUGAAGGUGGGAGAGAGAGACAACAGUAGCUCUGCGACUAUGCCAUGCAUAUGUUCGACGAAAUGGCCGAAAAGAAGGAUAGAAAAUAAACAAUGGUUUUUUGAAGCAAUCUGUAAUAUAUAUAUAUAUAUAUAUAUAUAAUGAAAGAUGGUACAACUUUAGAUAUAGAGGAUCGAGUUUAGAGAACGCUGCCGGAGAUGAUGAAAAUAUAGAGGAUGAAAUCUUUUAGAGAGAACUAUAAAGGACAUAGAAUAUUUUUUUAGAAGAUAAAAUUUAAAGUACGUUGCUGUAGAUAGCCUAAGCACUACGUGUUAGUCCAUCUAGUCAGUUCAGAAUGAUGUCAUCUUUAGAAACAUUUCUGGUUCAGUGCAUAGCUGCAAAGUAAUAUUUAAAGUAGAGUUUGCACUAGUUAUUCUAAGAGUAAAAGGAAAAUAGCAACCUCAAAUUGACUAGUUAUUCGAAGUAAUCUUUUCUAUUUUUUGUAAGCUUUUUUUUCUUGAAGUUUUGCACCAGGAUGUAUUCCGUUUCUUUGAUAAAGGAAUAAUCGACAUCUCAGCAGUGUUGUGUAUGUGAAAACACUACUGAACAACCAAGAAAAGAAGUCUAAUAACAUUUGAGAAUUUACUGUCCGAUGAACGCUAGAUAGCAGAUGUACUUCUAGAUAAUGAAUCAUUGUCGACUCCUCUUCUCUUCCCCUUGACGUGUUGUGACAUUUCCGUGUAAUAAAUCGAAAAGGGACAGUGCCCAGGUCAGAAGAGUAAAAAAAUCAGGACCAUCACAUACGCAUCCACCACCACGAACAGUCUCAAAAGGGACUUACCAUCCACCAUCCGAUCGGACGACAUGGGUGCGCAGACCUGGGAUGCCGGACUCCGUGCGGGCUGCGAAGGGACGUCAAUGACGAAUUCCCUACCGAGUUAUGGGAUAUCAGACCCAUCACCAUUAUAUUUGAUCCAUCACCAUAUCCAUCCCCAUACCCAUCAUGGGUGCGAAAUCCAUCCCAUACCCAUCCCCAUUCGCAUCCCCCUUCGGGUUUCGGGUCCCCAAUGAGUUCUCAUCCCCAAUUAAAGAAUAACUAGGUACUAACAGCUAAUACAAACUAUCCAGAUUUCAUACAUCACCACAUCGGCAAGCACUCGUCUAUGAACUAUGAUUCAUUCAUCUAUCCAUCUGUUGGAAGUCAAAUUGAGCAGCGCGGACAGUCCGGCGCUGAGGCCGGACGGUCCGCGGUCCGGACAGUCCGCGGUGGUGGCGCGGACGGUCCGCGCGCGCGCAGAGUCAGUUAGGGUUCCUAGUUUCUCGCGGGAUUUGUUACCUAAAACCGCGGGAUUAACUCGGGAAACAGUUGGAAACGGAUCCAGACCUCCCCCUUUAUAUAGAUGAAGGGCUACGGCCGAUUAAACCCCCAUCAAUCGAACAAAUCAAGUCUAUUUCUCGUUUUUACCUUACGCAUUAGGAAUAGUUCUAGUCUAGUUCUAGUUUAGCCUCUCAAUCUCCAAAUUCUCCGCCUCUCUUCGACUCUACGUCGAUUAGAGGAGUCUAGGUCGGCCUGCCGAGCCUAGACGACACCUAGGAUCUCUCCUCCCCGACGGGGUCCCUCCCGGGAGCGAGAUCCAGGCGCCGCCGGCGACCUUCGCCACCCCCUGCGCACGUGCGGACCGUCCGGCCAUCAGGCAGGGAACCUUUGCCCCUGCUCUAGGUCGCGGACCGUCCGCGCCUGACCAGAGAGCACCGCCGCCGGUUCUUGUUGAGUGAUUGGCGCCCCAAAAAGGUGCCAACACCAUCAAAAAAGAAAUCGGUACUUCGGGACCAAUAGAAGAAAUGGAGAAAUGGAGUCUCCUUACCUUCCUUGGUCACCAUCCGAGUUCGUUGGCGCCUGAGAAUACAUGGUCGUCACCGUCGUCCUAGGCUCCUAGCAGUCGGCGUAGUGUACGACUGGUUAUUUUAGGGUUUUGUUUUUUUCUAGUCUGCUAGUUGCCUUAUUGGGCUAGGACCUGAGGUCUGGCGCGUUGCUGUGCUGGGUUUGGUGGCCGGCUCAUCCUCAACUCAUUCAUACAAACAGGACAGGUGUACACGUAUGAAAUACCCAUGGGUAAUCGGGUUCGGAUUAUUGCUUCCCAAACCCAUACCCGUUUACCCAAUGGGUGGAGAUUUUGUCCCAUAUCCAUACCCAAGGGGACAAUUUUUGUCUCAUACCCGUACCCUCAUAGGGGAAUUCCCCACGGGUUAGCGGGUAUCGGGUCCCCAUUGACAUCUAUACUCGAGAUCAGGGGAGAUGGAGUCGGACUGCGGAAGGUGAGGCGGCGUGCCGGCGUGUCAUGUCUGUGCCUGCUGCGUCUUCCCAGGAUGUGGGCGUGUAACAGUAAGUACUCUAGAGUUGGACCGUGGGCCGUGUUUAGCGUACUAAUCUGGUGUCAGGGUUCAAUUGGAGUCUGUAAUGGCCUAGUAGAGACCGGCUAUAUAUUCUGUACUUGACCAGUUGGCAAAUUACGAAGAGAAUAAACCAGAGAAACAGAUCCGUAACAAACUCACCUCGGGUUGUUGUGUUCCGCUGUCCCUCCGACGUACUCACGUCCCGGCGGUGGCUCGCUGGGGGCCACGGGACGUCUCAGGCGGUAUCAGAGCCGUGGUCCUUGGAGGUCUCCACGACGGUGUUGUCCAUCAAACCAUCAGUGCAGACGCGUUUGCUGACGGAGAUGAUGGAGGUCGCGGAGCAGAAGAGCGAGGAGCGCUGGGACUGGAUGAUGAAGAUUCUAGAGCGCUUGGGCGACAAGGUGGAGGCGAUGGAGAUCGGGCAGCAACGUCUUCAACGUCAAGCAGAGGCGAUGGAGGCGGGUCAUCAACGUCUUCAUCACCAAGUUGAGGCUGCUGCAACAUCUGCGAGGAAGGUGGAAGAGGAACGAUCCAUUCUGGCGCGGCAGGUGGACGAAACCGGGAAGUCGGUGUCGCGACUUAGUUUGGAGUGGAUGGCGAAGGAGAUGGAAGGUAUGGAAACUGAGUCUAAGAGGGAAGUGUGUAACCAAAGGCGGUCUGAGGGUGGUGAUCGGGAGCAUGGUGAGCGGGAGUUUCGUGUGGAUGAUCAGCCGGGAGGAAGUAGAGAGCAUCGUGAGAAACGAGGUGGAAAUAUGGGAACCGGGUGACUGAUCCACAAGGAGGGAAUAGAGAUUAUCGGCCUUCAGAUUUGCCGAAGAUGGCAUUCCCCAAAUUUCAAGGUGCUAAACUUAAGAUUUGGUUCGAUAAGUGUUUGGAGUAUUACAAUAUCUAUCAGGUGCCUAAGUUUUUGUGGCCGUCAUCAGCUUCCCUGCACAUGGAAGGAAAUGCAGCACGGUGGGUGCGAGAAUACAAGAGGAGUCAAGGAUUGGGAAAUUGGGCCUAGUUUACUCAAGCAGUUCAGGAAAAGUUUGGGGCAGAAGAGGAUUCCCAAGCAAUGAGGGGUUUGUUGCAGCUGAUGCAGAGGUCUAGUUUAGAGGAGUACGUUCAUGCUUUUGAAGAGGCCAAGUAUGCUAAUACUUUACACAACCCUGGGUUGGGAGAAACUUUCUUUGUUUCUCAGUUUGUAAAAGGCUUGAAGGGGGAAUUGUAGGGGCAUGUGUUGGUGAUACUUCUGGCUCAGAUACAGCAGGAAGUGGUGGAGAUGAACAAGGCCAAAUUUUAGAGGAAUUAUUUAGGGAGCAAAGUGAUGGUUAACACAGCGAAAGGAGAUCCUAGAGCAGUAACUGGCCCUGUUGAUUUGGCUAAGGAGAGGCAGCUGAGAGAUUUUCGGAGGCUAAAUGGUUUAUGUUUUGGUUGUGGAGAGAAGUACGAGCCAGGACAUCAAGAUAAAUGCCAAAAAGAGGUGGAGCUCAAUUACAUAAUCUGACUAUAGAGGAUAUGGGGUUUGUAUUGUCAGAUGAGGUGUUGCAGCAGCUAGAUCAGGAAGAUAAGGAAGUGGAGGAAGCAUAUAAGUUGUCUAUAAAUGCUAUCAGUGGAACUGACCGUGAGGAUUGUAUGAGGGUUCGGGCUCUGGUCCAAAAUCGAGUACUGGUGAUGUUGGUAGACUCUGGCAGCUCCUCAAGUUUUGUCAGUCAGAGAAUAGUAGAUCAGUUGGCCUUAUCAACUGAAGUGGUUUCACUAGUAAGAGUACAUGUGGCUAAUGGUGAGUCUAUGUUGAGUUCAAAAAGGGUGGCAUCACUGGAAUGGUGGGCAGAAGGACACUCUUAUGCCAGUAAUAUGAGAGUACUGGAUUUAGAAGCUUAUGAUGCUAUAUUGGGGUAUGAUUGGCUAAAGAGCCAUAGUCCUAUAGAGUGUGAUUGGGACAACAAGGUGCUGACAUUCUGGGAUAAAGGGGUAAGAGUGUAGCUGAGGGGGAUGGUGAAGGAAGUACAAAAGUGUUGCAAGUGUCAGCUGUACAACUGAGAAGGUGGAUGAAGAUAAAUGACGUGUGGGCUUUUGUGAUGUUAGAAACAAUGCAGGAGGAAGGUGCUGAAAAGGAACAGGACCACUGAGGCAGAUACUUAAGGAGUUUGAAGAUUUGUUUGUUGUGCCCACUGGACUACCUCUGGUUAGGAUGUAUGACCAUCAUAUACCAUUGCUCCCAGGGUCUAUUCUGGUGAAUUCCAGGCCUUAUAGGUAUUCACCUUUCCACAAGAUAGAAAUAAAAAGGCAAGUGAUAGAGUUAUUAACUGCAGGACUGAUAGUGCCCAGUGCCAGUCCAUUUGCAUCCCCCGUAUUACUAGUUCAGAAGAAAGAUGGCAGCUAGAGGUUUUGCAUCGAUUAUAGAAGGUUGAACUCCAUGACCAUCAAGAACCGAUUUCCCAUGCCCUUGGUGGAUGAGAUCCUGGAUGAGUUGGCAGGAACUCAGUUUUUCAUAAGUCUAGACAUGACUGCGGGGUAUCAUCAGAUUAGGAUGGCAGAGGAGGAUGAGGGUAAAACUACGUUCAAAACUCAUCAUGGCCAUUACCAAUUCCGAGUUAUGCCUUUUGGACUGACAAAUGCACCAACGACAUUCCAGUGUGCCAUGAACACAGUGCUAGAACCGUUUCUACGGAAGUUUGUUAUGGUAUUCUUGGAUGAUAUAUUAAUCCACAACCCGAGUCUAGAGGAGCAUUACAAACAUCUCAGGAUGGUAUUGUCCAAGCUCAGAGAACAUAAGUUUUUCUUGUAGCAUAAGAAGUGUGUUUUUGCGAAGAAAGAGCUGAAAUAUCUUGGACAUGUUAUAUCCAGAGAUGGGGUAGCGACAGACCCUGCAAAGACAACUACUAUGCUGGCAUGGCCUAGACCAUAGAAUAUCACUGAGUUAAGAGGAUUUCUGGGGCUUACAGGGUACUACAGGAAGUUUGUGUGUGGGUAUGAAGUUCUAGCAUGACCCCGCACUCAGCUGCUGCAAAAACGACAUGGGUUCAAGUGGAAUGAUGAUGCUCAAGCAGCGUUUGAGGCCCUAAAAAAGGCUAUGACGUCUAUUCCUGUCUUGGCCCUACCACGAUUUGAUCAUCCUUUUGUGGUAGAGACAGAUGCAUGUGAAAACGGAAUGGGGGCAAUGCUCAUGCAACAAGGAAAGCCCAUAGCUUAUAUCAGCAAGGCUUUAGGAGAGAGGAAUAGACACAUGUCUAUCUUUGACAAAGAGUUUUUAGCCUUAAUCCUUGCUGUGGAGAAAUGGAGGCCAUAUCUGCAAAGGAGUCCUUUUGUUAUCAAGACUGAUCAUAAGUCACUUACAUUUUUAGGGGAGCAGCAACUACAGUCCGAACUACAAAGGAAAGCUAUGGCAAGAUUAAUGGGCCUUCAGUUUCAGAUUGUUUACAAAAGAAGGGGUAGAGAAUCGAGUAGCUGAUGCUCUAUCCAGGGUGGGGGCUAUGAUGGAGCUGGCUGUUCUUUCUGAAGUACAACCAUUGUGGAUUCAAGAGAUUUUGAAUUCCUAUGAGACAAAUGUUGAAGCUCAAUAGUUAAUUACUCAGUUGUUGGUGCAUAGUCCCAAUGAACAAGGGUUUAGUUUGCAGCAAGGUAUUGUCAGGAAAGGUGACCGAAUCUGGAUAUGGUUCAACUCUGCCCUUAGAACCAAACUGAUAGCAGCUUUACAUGACAAUGCCAUGGGGGGCAUUCUGGCAUAGAUGCAACUUAGAGGGUCAAGAAACUUUUCUGAUGGAAGGGACUUAAGGUGGAUGUAACUCAGUUUGUGCACCAGUGCCUGACCUGUCAAUAGGCAAAAUCAGAAAGGACUCAUCCAGCAGGUCUGUUAUAGCCUCUUCCUGUUCCACAAGGAAUUUGGGAAGAUGUCACAAUGGAUUUUAUCGAAGGGCUGCCAAAGUCUGAAGGUUAUGACAACUAUCAUGGUAGUAGUGGAUAGAUUCACAAAAUAUGGACAUUUUCUUCCACUCAAACACCCUUUCACUGCCCAAGGAGUGGCUCAAGUAUUCUUGGACCAGGUGGUGAAGUUACAUGGACCUCCCAAAUCCAUUGUAUCAAACAAAGACAAGAUUUUCAUUAGCUCUUUUUGGAAGCACCUAUUUCAACUUAUGGAUGUCAAGUUGCUGUUUUCAACUGCCUAUCAUCCGCAGACUGACGGUCAAAGCGAACAGGUGAAUCAAUGUUUGGAGACAUAUUUAAGGUGUGCAGUAAAUGCUCAGCCGUCUAAAUGGAAGUUGUGGUUGGCCUUGGCAGAAAUUUGGUACAAUACUACUUACCAUACUAGUCUGGGUUGUACUCCUUUCAAAGCACUAUAUGGAUAUGAUGCUCCGAUGUUGGCAUUACCUCAAUCUGGUGUUCCUGAGGAUGGGUCAGUAAUGGAUUGGCUGGCUGACAGGGUUGCUUUCUCAACUCAUCUCAGAGAACAACUCGCUUGAGCUCAAAAUCGGAUGAAACAAAUGGCUGAUCGGGGACAGACGACAAGAGAGUUUUAGGUUGGGGAGAUGGUGCUGCUAAAGCUUCAGCCAUAUGCUCAAAAAAUUAUGGUAAACCGUCCUUGUCCAAAGUUGGCUUUCAAAUUUUUUGGUCCUUUCAAAGUGUUGGCUAAGAUUGGUGUGACAGCUUACAAAUUGGAUCUACCAGAUAGUGCUCAAGUUCAUCCGGUGUUUCACGUUUCGCAACUGAAACCUUAUCAUCCAUCGUAUACUCCGGUCUUUACUUCUUUGCCUCCAUUAGUGGACCUCUCAAGGACUGGCAUUAUUCCUGAAGAAAUUCUUGAUCGACGUUUGGUGUGCAAAGGCAAUCAAGUUGUUCCACAAAUUCUUAUUCGCUGGUCUAGUGUUCCAGUGGAAUCCGCAACUUGGGAAAAUUAUUAUGUGUUGAAGAACCGUUUUCCAGACGCCAUCGCUUGGGGACAAGCGGAUACUGAGUCCCGGGGAAUUGUCAUGUGUGUGCCUGCUGCGUCUUCCCAGGAUAUGGGCGUGCAACAAUAAGUACUCUAGAGUUGGACCGUGGGCUGUGUUUAGCAUACUAAUCUGGUGUCAGGGUUCAAUUACAGUCUGUAAUGGCCUGGUAGAGACCGACUAUAUAUUAUGUACUUGGAUAGUUGGCAAAUUACGAAGAGAAUAAACCAGAGAAACAGAUCCGUAACAAACUCACCUUGGGUUGUUGCGUUCCGCUGUCCAUCCGACGUACUCACGUCCCGCCGGUGGCUCGUCGGCGGCCACGGGACGUCUCACGGCGUCCAUGCCUUCGCGACGACGUGGGAGAGCUGAUAUUUGCCGUCACCACGAAAUACAUUCGUAAAAUUGUCAUGAGACCUACAUUUCAUAGACACAAAUAGAUCCACAAUCUAUAAAUACACGGAUAACUAUAACAAACAGUCAAUAUUUCAAGUGGCAAUUUUCCAAUUAUUUUGCUUUUUCACUCGUCCCGCCGAGGCCUUGGACAUGGGCUACAUUUUUUUUGCAGAUAGACAAAGCAAUAACCCAGUCAGAAGCAUGAGUUUAAACAGCCCAGCAACCUAAUGACUACUGGGGCUUCCUUACGUUGGGCUAGUUAGGCUAGGCGCUAGGCCCAUGUUGAGGCCCGUCGUAGCUGCACUAGCAGGGGAAAAACGGAGGCGAUUACAUCAAGAAUGGAAGAAACUAGGUAGCAUUUGGUUUCGCUUCAAAGUAUGAUCGGAUAAAGCUCCUUCCCUUCUUAAUUUAUUAUUUUUUGGAUUAGUUCUAUGUUGGAUGAAGUGACUCUUAAAAAAGAAAUAUUCCAAUUAGAUGUUGAACCAUCCAACUCUCCAAAAUCUUCUGAACAGAGUUGCUCCUCCAUCCAACUACCCUAGCUGCCCAUCUGAUCCGAUUUCAAAGUCGAGUAGGGAUUGGGUUGGUCACUAGUUUUUUAUUCCUUCAGGAGACCAAAAACAAGACAACACAAUUAAAUAAAGCUUUAUCUUUAUUCUUUACUCUAUCCAUCUCGGAGGAAAGAUAGUUAAAUGACGAAGAUAUUAAGAAUCAACAUAGAACAAUGAAGAGCAUCAAAGAUAGAUGCUACAUGAUAUAAAGAUGAAGUACAUAAUUCAACCUUAUUAAACGUUACUUCCUUCCUUCUUUUAUUAUUUAACGAAGGACUACAAUAAUACCUUCGGCUCCUUAGAAUUACAAUGCAAAGGUAAGAGAGAUACAACUUCGUAGGCAGAGUGAAAUAAUUUCUCCUGACCAAAAACAUGUCCAAUGCACAACAUUGUUCCUCUAUUUAUGGUAAAAAAUACUUGAUAUAAUGAUAUGGUUGAUGUGACCAUGGAAGUCUAUAUUGAUGAUGCCAGUACCCUAAAACAGGGGUACCCCUUACUACCGUAUGAAGACAUAGUACCCACGCGGCUAUCUUUAGUCGCGUGGUAAAGGAGUUGUGUGUUGGACCAGACCAUGGCUCGCCCCAGCCUCGGGCGACUACUCUGGGCCAGCGACAGCACCCGACCCCUCCACGUGGACGGUUCAGGGGCCGCCACGUGGCCAGAGAAGAAGAUAUACUCCAAGGUAUCAACAGUGAGUCCGGACCCCCAUGGGAAAGUGCCGGACCCUUGUAUAUACAGACCGGGCCUCUAGGUAAGGUCCAGGACCCCCACGGGCGCAAACCGGACCCCUAGGAUGGGGUCCGGACCCCUCCAUGUGGGGUCUAGGCCGCUCACGGCAGGGUCCCAGGAUUCUGGGACAGAGAAUGCCCAGGCCUUAAUCAAGGCCAGACGGGGGUCCGGAGCCGACACGUGUCCGGACCUUAUCGUAUACUCUUCUGCUCCCGGCCCAGGCGGAGAUCCGAUGCUGCCGCGUGGCCUACUGCAUGUGACGUAAGCCAACGGGCAGAGCCUGACGUAAGGCCUCGGGACUGCGUGACCUCUGCAUUUAUUGUGGAUAAGGCGCGCCGCCUAUCCAUUCCACUGGCAGGCGAUGUGCCGCCUCAGCAUUUAUUGAGCCCUGUCCAUUCCACUGGUAGGCGAUGUGCCGCCUUCGCAUUUAUUGAGCCCUAUCCAUUUCGCUGGCAGGCGGAGACCAGUCCGUUCCGCAGGCGGCGUGCCUGUCCAUUCCAUUGGCAGACGGUACACCCAUACUGCCGCGUGCACUACGCCCAUCAUUACUCGUACGUUACCAAGGAAGCAGCCGCCGCGUGUCAAUACUAUGCGGACUGCGGACAUCGAGGCGCACAGGAGAUUGCACAGGCGUUAGUUACUCCUAUAAUAUAUUCCUUCCGUUAUGUUCCUGGACCCACAUGUCGGGCUCAGCAUCCUUGUAUGUGCCUCCCUUGAGCUAUAAAAGGAAAGACACACAACGUUACAAGGCAGAUUCACUCAGAUUCUUAGACUCACAAGUUCAUACAAGCUCUCAAGCUCAUAGACUCAAUACAACACACAGACAGUGGAGUAGGGUAUUACGCUUCGGCGGCCCAAACCACUCUAAAUCCUCGUGUUCACUCGUGUUCAUUGAUCUCCCGAUAGACAGGCAAAACGCUUAGGCCCCUCCCCAUCUUAGGAUUUAGGGCGGGUGCGUUCCGCCACCCGGCCGGAGAAUUUCCUCUCCGACAGAUGAUAUUAUGAUAAAAUUAGUUAUCCAUACAUCUCAUUUGGUUGACUUGCAUCUUGCUUUUGCGAGGAUGUGAUAGUAUGGUUCGAAGAUGAACCCACUCAAAUAUGUUUUUGGUGUAUCAUUUGGGAUGUUCUUGGGCUUUAUUAUUCACAACAAAAGCAUAACUAUUCAUCAUAAAAACAGAGAAUAUUAAGAGAGUUUAGGUCCCUACAUGCAAAAAAACUUGCAAAAGUUCCUAGGAAAGGUGAACUACUUAAGAAAAUUUAUUGCAAAAUUGUUUGAAAAAAAUAUUCCAUUUACCAUAUUGUCGGUGUUUCGUACCUCACUCUGACAAGUAAUUUUUUUGUACACGUUCUGGGCUCUCGAGGGUGUGCGGAGAGCAUAAGAUUUAUACUGGUUCGAGUAGAAUGUCCCUACAUCUAGUCAUCGGUGGCUUGCACUACCAACAUCAUUGAUGAUCAACCUCUUAGUAGGGGUUACAAGCAGUCGAGAGAGGGAGAAGAGGCUCCCAGAUCUCUUAUCAGGGUGAAAGUGGAGCUUAUAAGCUGCAAGGUGGAGUCCUAGCUAAGUCUUGGCUUGGCGGGGCUUCGACCUCCUGGUCCUCAUUGGUGCUCCUCCUCCUGUUCGUCCUUAUGGGUUCGUCUUUGUCUGAAGGUGUCCGGUUGUCUCCAAGAGCUUUCUCCUCGGUCCGUCCUUCUGUUCCUCACCCUCUGCUCGGAAGUUGGCCUCUACCUUUUAUAGGUCGGGAUAAGGAUCAGUCAACGGUGGCUUUCCCGGGAAGGAGCUAUAAGGCAUGGGUAAAUCCAACACUUUACCUCAGGUGAGGCCACACGUACUUGUGGGGCCCAGGGCUGCCUGGCUGUCGCAUAUUUAUCGUGGUGGAUGACGUGGUGCAGCGAUGGUCCUAGAUGUCAUCAUUCCGGCUAUGCCGACCCUUGGCUUUCAUAGCCUGGGGCUCGACGCAGCCCGUCGUGUAGUGCCCUACGAGAGGUCUGCGCACUUAGGCCUAGUUCGAUAGGCCAUAAGUGCACCACAGACUGAGGGGCGCACUGGCCAUCAAUGCGACGUAGUCCGGGGGCUCGUAGGUCAUGAGCGCUAUGCGGCCCGAGGGGUUCAUAGGUCAUGAGUGAGAAGCACACCGACGUCCAUGCUCUGGCUCGGUGCCAGACGUGGUUAAUGCGACUAGUCAUUUAUGGUAGGUUAGUCUAGGGCCGUGCGCGGGAUCCACUCGAGUGGUUCCCUUCUCACACGCCUGGCCUCCCUUGUCAGUUUUCGCCACGCCCGGCCCUAGGGUUAGUGUCGCGGGGUUCGACCAGGGGCGAGUCUUUUAGGGUUGACGUAUAUGCCUCUUCCGACUAACUAACAGACCCCAACGAUCAGGGGUUCUUUCCUCAGCGCGCUCACUGACCAGUGGGUCCUAGGGUCUGGGGAUCAUUCCCCCGACAGUAGCCCUCGAGCCCCCGAAGGGGGAGUAUCUUCCUUCGAGGGCUGAUGAUAGGUGGACGAUGUCUUGUUCCCUUUUGUCGCUUGCCGCUGUCGAGUGAAAUUCACAAAGCCCAAUGCUGGUUUUCGGGAACCAGUUGGGCGCUAUAAGUAGGGGAUCGCUCCGUGCUUACCCCCAACGGUUUUCAGUUGUUGCUUUGUGCCCUUGUCACACCCGGUUUUAGAAGGCAAACCGAAUGCGAACCAUGUACGUGCCAGGAUCAGCAAUUCACGUACACAGCAGUUACAUAACUGGACAUCAUCACACAGUGCUAAAAUAAUGAAAUAAAAGAGGGUAUAAUAGUCGAUUACAUCAUGAUGUCCGAGACAUCCACAUAGUCUUUAACAAUAAUCAAAGUGAGGAAAAGAAACGUAGAUACACACGACCUACACAGGCAGCCGACUAGGGGUUUGCCGCUAACCCAAGCCUAGAACUCAUCGUACUCUUGGAACUCCGGGAAGUCCUCCACGACUUCAUCUUCACCUCAGCAGUGGUUGCAAUGCGGACUAUCUGGGGGGGUUUGGUGUGUAAAGCAAGGGUGAGUACACAUCAACAUACUGAGCAAAAUGUCCCGUUUGGCUGUAGUGGACUAGCUUUAUGUGGAGUUAAGUUAAGCAGUUGCUUUUAGUUAGUCAGGUUAUUAUUUACUAGUAGAAAGCCAGGUUUUAGCAUUAGCCCAAGUUAUUAACCCAGAUGUACCCUUUCCAAACGGAAAGAAUACCACUUACCAUUACCAUAGGUAUAAUCAAAGUCAUCAUCCUCAUCACCACCUGUAAACCAUACAUCCCUAACCAUGUAUCUCUAAUCAAUGGAGCUCCCUUGGCCGCUCAUAACCGCGAGCAUGGCUGAUAUAUCAGUUUCAUAACACUCUGCAGAGGUUGCGCACUUUACCCACAAGCCGUGAUUCCCUCUUGCCUCGGGCCGAUCAAACCCUUAAACACUACCAAGGUGAAUAGCAGGGUCUCACUACGUAGCCUUUACAAAGAUUUCCUGGGGCUGUAGCCACCUGUUAGGUUUCCUAAAUGCACCGCACUCCUCCCCAAGAGGCGAACCAACCUUGGCAGAGCAAGCCACAUACAUCGAGCCCCAUUAAUGGCACGACGACAAAGCGAACUACACCCCAGUUCCUCUAAUUACUCAGCUAAGGGCGUCCCACUCCACCCUCAUGGUUGCACUGUUUUCCCGAGCGGUCAUCCAACGAACAGAUCCUUACGGAGAGGCACUCGAGAAACCGCUCGAGUCCCCUUAAGGGCCACAAGUACCAUCAUCAUAAUCAAAAGGGAAAACAGCGUAUCAUAGAUAAUCUCAUCAUGUUCAUUUAUUAAUGUGAAGCCCUAGCAUAAAGCUAAACCAUAAUAACCCAACCAGAAUAGGUAAACAAGGACAAGAUAAACAAAAGCUAGUCAAUCCUUAGGUAUAAACUGUGUAAAUGCAGGGAAUGAAUUAUAAGAAUGAGUAGGACAUAGAUGGGUCAAGGGACAUUUGCCUUCACCAACUAGAUGCUGCUGAGGGUCUUCACCUGCAACUCCUUCGGACUCCGCCAACUAACUGUUAUCUAUACGAGUUUCAAACAUACAUUCCACAAGUUUUAAUACAAAAGAACAGUACACCAAACAAUAUAAUGCAAUAAAUAGACAGACGUUCGACGCAGGGCUCACACCUAUGACUAAGCGAGAAAAAGAAAGUAACGGUCGAGGCUACGGUCGAAGAGCGACCACAUCACACGAUUAUAAAUUAAAAUACUCGUCUAAACAGAAUGGUAUUAAUUUAGCCAUCGCAUUUAGCAUAGGGUAAAGUCAUGUUCCAUGUUUAAUUAUUAUAAGCAGAUAAAGGUAAAUUAAAAGGAUUGUCGCGCGGCGAGACACGCAACACAGCACUUAAAUUGAAUUAAGAAAUAAAUGACUCGUCGCAUGACAGAGCGCGCAACGAGACACUUGCAAUAAUUAUAAAGAGACGUUAAGCGUCGUGCGGCGAAACGCAUGACGGAAAAUAUCAACUGAACUAAAUUUAAAACGAAACAUCGCGCGAUGAACCGCGCGACACAGAUCAUUAAUAAAGAUGAAUUUAAAAUGAAUUGUCGUGCGACGAAGCGCGCGACGUAGCACAUCGACUAAACUAAAAUUAAAAAGGGAUUAAGCUGAAAGUCGAAUGUCGCGCAACUACAGUCGCGCGCGCGAACACGCUGUGCGCGCCGGGGGCACGCAACCGUAGGGGCGCGAGGCCGCCAGGGCACGGGCGCGUAGGGGUGCGGGCGCGAGGCCGGGGAGGGCGCGCGAGGGCAUGGCAGGGAGGGCACGCGACUAGGGGAGGCACGGAGGGUGGGGGGAGAGGAGCAAGAAGAGGAAGGAGAGAGAGAGAGAGAGGAGGGGGCUCACCACGGGUAUCCAAAUCCGGCGAUCAACGUCUCCAAAACCUAGGGCACCACGAGGAAGAGAGAGAGGUGGGAGAGAGAGGGAGUUGUGCACGAGAGAAUUGAAUGAGGGGAAGGAGAGACAAGGUGUCACACCCGGUUUUGGAAGGUAAACCGAAUGCGAACCAUGUACGUGCCAGGAUCAGAAAUUCACGUACAUGGCGAUUAUAUAAAUGACUCAUCAUAGCAUAAUGCUUCGAAUAACAAUAAAGAUAAGUAAUAAUAUGAAAGACUAGAGUCAUUUACAUAAUAUAAUCAAAGUACACAGAACAGAAACGUAGCCAACGUAAAUAAACCCACCACAGGCAGCUGACUGGGGGAGGUCGCUAGCCUAAUCCUCGAACUCGUCGAAGUCCUGGAACUCCUGGAGAUUCGCCUCGACACCUUCUUCUUUACCUGAGCAUAGAUUGCACCAAAGGCAACCUGGUGUUUUGUGAAAGCAAGGGUGAGUACACAUCAACGUACUCAACAAAUGUCCUGUUUGGCUGAGGUGGACUAGCUUUAUGUGGGGUUAAGCUCAAGCAGUUGCUUUUAGUUGGUCAGGUAUUUAUUAUCAGUGGAAGCCAAGUUUUAGUAAUAACCAACAUGUGAACCAUUUCCUCAUCGAGGAACAUCAUCAUCAUAGUCGAACCCAAAACCAUAAACAUAAUCCUUGUAUCUCGAACCAUCUGUAUCUCUAAUCAAAGAGGAUCCCAAGGCUGCUCUUAACCGUGAGCACGGCUGAUAUAUCAGUUUCACUACCCUCUGCAGAGGUCGCACACUUUACCCAUGAGCCGUGAUUCCCGUUCUGCCCGGGGAGAGCUAAUCCCCAUUGACCACUACCUAGGUGGUCCGGCAGGGCAUCACUACGUAGCUUUUACAAAGAUUCCCUAGAGAUCAUAGCUGCCCGUUAGGUUUCUCCAGUUUGAUAAACACAGUACCCCUCCCCGCAGGAGAGUGACUAACAAAGAGCAAAACGAAAGAACCUCGGCACUCAGCCUCGGCAGAGCAAGCACUGUGCCUGGACCCAUUUGACGGCACGACGGCUAAGCAACUACACCUCCAGUUCCUCCAAUUAAUCAGCUAAGGGCAUCCCAUUUCACCCUCAUGGUUGCACUGUUAUCCCGGGUGGUCUCUCAACGAACAGGUCCUUACGGAGAGGUACUCAGGAAACAGCCUGAGCCCCCUAGAGUAUCACAAGAUCAUCAACAUCAUCAGGAUAACAGUAUCAUAGAUAGUCACAUCAUGUUCAUUGAUUAAGUUAAGGCAAAAGCAGAGUGCUAACCAUAACAACCCAAUAGGUCAUCAAGGACAAAGUAAAGUGUAAAGCUAGUCAAUCCUUAGGUUUCAAGUAAGUAGUGCGGGGUAGUAAGUUAUAAAUGAAUAGGACAUAAUGGGACAGAGGACACUUGCCUUCACCAAACUGCUGAUCAGGGACUUCCUCUGCAACUUCCUCGGGAAACACAGACUGCUCGUUGUCUACGUAAAGUAAUCAUUCACACUAUGCACUUGGGAAGAUAACAAACAAAAAGCAACAUACCAAACAUAUGCAGCAGAGAGAUCACAAGUUCAUAGUUGAAAAGGGAUAGGCACUCUGGUGUUCCCUAGGUCUAGGGUAGAGGACUAUACAAAGUGAUUCAUUAUCCACUAAUCAGGUUUAAGUCAGUGGAGGGAUUAAAUCAUUACAUGGUUUUAAGUUCCUAAACUUAGGUGUUUAAGUCCAUAAACUUAAGUAUUCUAACUUUCAUUAAAGUCUACCAACUUCUAAUUAUCUCAAAUAGGGUUCCAAUAGCCUUAAUCCUAUCCUAGUGAUUAACUAUUAAUUGGUACAUGGAAACAGCAGGGAAACAUUGUUUAAAUAGAUAGACAAAAACAUCAUGAGCAUUUUGCAAUUUGAAGCACCUCAUUUGGAGUUCAUAUGACAAAGUUAUGGAUUUUACAAGUUUAGGGGUUAAAAAUAUACCCUAAAUACCUAUUUUGAAUUAAAUAAAUGUCCCAGGGACCUAACCGAGAGAAACCAGGGACGGCGGGUUCAAAUUCCAUAAAACCGGGGGUCUCUUUAAGAAAACGCGCGGGCGAAGGGGUAUCGGGCUACUACGGUCGUCAGAUCUAAAGCGAACGGCCAGGAUUAGAUCCUGCGGGCGGGCGCGCGAGCGCGCGGCGGCCUGGGCGGCUGACAGGCGGGACCGGGCGGGCAGCGCGGGGCGCGGGCAGGCUGACAGGCGGGGCCCAAACGGCAGGGGGACGGGGUGUGGGGGAAGCGGGCCUGGGCCGCUGGAUCUCCGGCGGACGGCCAGGAUUAGGAUUGACCUAAUUAAAACGGGACCGCCCGGUCUGGGACGAACGGUGGGGAUCGGGUGGCCGGCCUGGGCUUCUCCUACGGCUAGCUAGGGCGGCGGCGCUCGUCCCCGCGGCGGAGGACUCGCCGGAGACGAGGGGCGCGGGCGUUUGGCGGGUCUCUGGGGCGAACUGAGUGGCCGGGAAGGUUGGGGAGGGCACGGGGAGUCCUCUGGUGGGGUCUGGGUCGGGGCAGGGGCACCGGAGGGGGGCGGCCCACGGCGGAGCGGCUCGGCGACGGCAUAAAUCUACUCCGGCGAGGAAUUACACAUGGCAGAAGGCAAUACACGGGUCGAUAGGGGCGGGAGAGGUUCUUUACCUCAAGGCGGGCUCCGGGGAUUCCUCGGCGGCGGUAAUGGCGCGACGGUGGCCCGGGGCGGCGGUGGCGGACCUCCGCGGCUGCACGUGGAACGGCGGGUGAGCGCGGGCAGAGAGAAAUAGGGAGGGGGAGAGGGAAUUGGGGCGCGUCCCGGGUUGCGGACGCCGGGGCGAAGCUCACCGUGGCAACGGACACGGCGGAGCUCCAACGGCGGCCGGGAAACGAGCUCGGGACGGCGGGGAUUUGUGGCGGCGGUGCUCUGGCGUGCGCGCAGCGAGGGAGAGGUGGAAGAGGGGUCUGCUGGAGCGCAAAUGGGGGAGGGGGAGAGGGCGAGUGGGGCUCGGGGCUCAAGUGGCCAGGGGCGGGGCGGUUGCGAGCUCCACGCGCGACGUGGGCGCGGAGAAGGCGGCCGCGCGCAGCUCGGGCGGCGGUUACGCGAGGACGACGGGGCUGACAAGCCGGGCCCGCGAGCAGAGAGAGAGGGGAGAGCGGGGGCGGCCGCGCGGAAAGCGGCCGCGCUGACGGGCGGGCCCGCCAGGGCAGAGAGAGCGGGGGGGGGGGGGGGGGGGGGGGAGAGGGCGCGCGCGCGGGAUGGGCCUGGCUGGGCCGAAAGGCUGAGGGGGCGGCGGGGUUGGGCUUCUUUCCUCUUUUCUUUUAUUCUGGAAUUGUUUUCUCUUUUCUUUUUAUUUUCUCUAUUUGAUUCAAAUCCAAAUAAGCCACAAAUUCAAAUUAGACUUUCCAAGAAUUAUGCACCAAGCAAAAGUGAAAUCUAGGGUUCAACAUGAUGCAACAAUUCAUACUCCCUUAGGGUUUAACCUAUUAAACUAUAAUUACAAAUAAAAUAAGCACUUUUCUCCUAUAGAAAUGAGAAAGAAAAGAAUGAGGAAGGAUGAGAAAAGGGAAGUAACACCUGAAUUUGUGAAUAUGAGCAAAGAAAUUUUAUACCCCCAAAUUCAGGGUGUUACAAACCUAUCCCCCUUAAAAGAAUCUCGCCCCGAGAUUCAAGGUUGGUCAGCAAAGAGUUCGGGGUAUUUGGCCUUCAGAUCAUCUUCUCGUUCCCAGGUUGCUUCUUCCUCCAAGUGGUGACCCCAUCUGACUUUGCACAUUCUGAUGGUGUUCCUCCGGGUGACUCUGUCUGCAAACUCCAGAAUCUGCGUUGGCUUCUCUAUGUAGGUCAGAUCCUCCUGGACCUCCAAACCCUCCACUGGCAACUGCUCUUCUGGUACUCGCAGACACUUCUUCAAUUGCGACACGUGGAACACAUUGUGCACUGCUGACAAACUUUCUGGUAGGUUGAGCUGGUAGGCCACUUCUCCACGCUUUGCUUGAAUCUGAUAUGGUCCAACGUACCGGGGUGCUAGCUUGCCUUUGACUCCGAACCUUCUGACUCCCCUGAUAGGUGACACCUUCAGAUAGACGUAAUCUCCCACUUCAAAACUCAGUUCUCUUCUCCUUCGGUCCGCAUAGCUUCGCUGCCUUGAUUGUGCUAUCUUCAGGUUCUCCCGAACCAUCUUGAUAUUCUCUUCGGCUUCAAGUAUGAUGUCGGGGCCAAACACCUGUCUCUCUCCAGGCUGGUCCCAGUGCAGCGGAGUCCUGCAACUCCGCCCAUAGAGUGCCUGAAAUGGUGACAUCUUCAAGCUGGCCUGGUAACUAUUGUUGUAGGAGAAUUCUGCAUAAGGUAACCUUUUGUCCCAUCCUGACUUGUCUUGCAACGCACAGGCUCUCAACAUAUCUUCUAGGAUCUGAUUAGUUCUUUCAGUCUGACCGUCUGUCUGCGGGUGAUAAGCUGAGCUGAAGUUCAAAUGUGUGCCCAAAGCUUCUUGUAGCUGCUGCCAAAAAUGAGAGGUGAACUGCGUUCCUCGAUCUGACACUAUCUUCUUCGGCACACCAUGAAGGCAGACUAUCCGUGACAUGUAUAACUCCGCUAACGUUGCUCCGGUGUAUGUUGUCUUCACGGGUAUGAAAUGGGCCACCUUUGUUAAGCGGUCCACAACCACCCAGAUGGAAUCAUAGCCGGCCCGGGUACGAGGUAGGCCAACUAUAAAAUCCAUCCCGAUCUCAUCCCACUUCCACUGAGGAAUCCGCAAUGGCUGCAACAAUUCGGCGGGCCUCUGAUGCUCUGCUUUGGUUCUCUGACAGCUAUCACAGAUGGCAACAUAUUCUGCGAUUUCUCUUUUCAUGCCAUACCACCAAAAUCUCCUUUUUAAAUCCUGAUACAUCUUUUCACUUCCAGGGUGUAUGGAGUAAGCUGUCUCAUGAGCUUCCUUGAGGAUCAGUUCCCGAAUAGGUUUGAGGUCGGGAACACACAAUCGGUCCUUGAACCAUAUUACUCCCUCUUCAUCCUCUCGAAAGUCUUUGCCUCUUCCUUCUAAGAUCAGCUGCCGGAUCUUGUUGAUAUUUUCAUCAUCCUUCUGCCCUUCUUUGAUCUCCCGCUCUAGGGUGGGCUCUAAUUCCACUGUUACUCCUUGCGUACUGUUCAGGAAACCGAGGCUCAGUCUGUUGAACUCUUUGGCUAACUCAUACGGCAUCGGGUACGAGGCCAACAUAUUGACUUGACUCUUCCUGCUCAGAGCAUCUGCAACAACAUUGGCUUUGCCUGGAUGGUAAUGUAUCUCCAACUCAUAGUCCUUGAUCAAUUCCAACCAUCUUCGCUGCCUCAUGUUUAACUCUGACUGGGUGAAUAUGUACUUCAGACUUUUAUGAUCUGUGUAGAUGUCGCACUUCUGCCCAUACAGGUAAUGUCUCCAUGUUUUUAAGGCAUGAACCACCGCUGCCAACUCCAGGUCAUGUGUGGGAUAAUUUUUCUCAUGGAUCUUCAGCUGUCGAGAUGAGUAUGCUACAACUCUUCCUUCUUGCAUUAGCACACAUCCCAAUCCGGUGUAAGAAGCAUCGCAAUACACUGAGAAUGACUUGUGAACAUCAGGCAGAACUAACACAGGAGCUGUAGUCAAUCUAUUUUUCAGUUCUUCAAAUGCUUCCUGACAUUUUUGGGUCCACUUAAACUCAACUUUCUUCGCUAGUAACGCUGUCAUUGGUCUAGCAAUCUUUGAGAAGCCUUCAAUGAAACGCCUAUAGUAUCCAGCCAUUCCAAUGAAGCUCUUGAUCCCACGAACAUCCUUCGGCGCUUUCCAGUUCAGGAUAUCUGCUACUUUCUUUGGAUCCACUGCCAACCCAUCUUGGUUUAUGAUGUGACCCAGAAAUAAGACUUCAUGAAUCCAGAACUCGCAUUUGCCCAGCUUGGCAUACAACUGAUGCUCUCGAAGCCUUUGCAAUACCAUCUUCAAAUGCUCUACAUGAUCUUCUCACUUUGAGAGUAUAUGAGAAUGUCAUCGAUGAACACUACCACAAACUUGUCUAGAUAGUCCAUGAACACGCUGUUCAUCAGAUACAUAAAGAAGGCUGGCGCAUUUGUCAAUCCAAAGGACAUAACUGUGAACUCAUAUAACCCAUACUUGGUGAUGAAUGCCGUCUUCGGUAUAUCUGAGGGUCGGAUUCUGAGUUGAUGGUAACCAGAUCUCAGAUCUAUCUUCGAGAAUACGCUGGCACCUCUGAGCUGGUCGAACAAAUCUUCUAUCCUUGGCAGGGGGUACUUGUUCUUGACAGUGACUUCAUUCAAGGCCCUGUAGUCUAUGCACAUCCUUUUGGUACCAUCUUUCUUCUCUACAAACAACACUGGAGCGGCCCAAGGCGAGGUGCUUGGCCUGAUGUAACCCUUCUCUAACAUCUCAUCUAUUUGCUUCUUGAGUUCCACCAAUUCUGGUCCAGACACUCGAUAGGCUCUUUUGGAGAUGGGGGCGGUACCAGGGAUAAGUUCUAUGACAAAUUCAACCUUUCUCUCGGGUGGCAUGCCCGUUAGCUCCUCGGGAAAUACAUCCGGAAAGCCCGACACAACCUUGAUAGCCUCGAGCGGGUUGGGCUCCUUACUAUCAACUGAAAUCUGGUGACAGACUCCCUCUUCUGACUUAGGCAUCCUUAGCUCGGCCACAACCUCUUCUCCUGACGGGGACUUCAAUGUUACGGUCCUCUUGUCACAACUAACAUUUGCUUCAUACUUCAUUAACCAGUUCAUCCCUAGAAUAACAUCUAUCCCGGGGGUGUCUAUUACUAUUAAGUCACUGGGGAAUCCUAUCCCCCUUAUUUCCACCAUUAUAUUUGAACAUAUUUUAUCUGUUUGCACCUUGCCACCAACCGAAUUAAUCCUCAUGGGCGGCAUCAUUGCCUCUACUGAGAUGUUAUGCAAUUCUACCCAUGUUGCAGUGACAAAUGAAUGAGUUGCACCAGUAUCAAAUAGCACUUUCGCGGGAUGAGAUUCGACUGGGAACAUACCUACUGCCACAUCUGGUGCAUCCUGGAUUGCUUCGGCCUCCAAGUGGUUCACCUUUCCACGGUUGUACGCUUGGUUACGAUUGCCUGCUGCCGGCUGCAGUACACCUUGCCUUGUUGGAGCAUUGGGGUUGGUCUGCUGCUGAGCCAUCUUCUUUGGGCACUGCAUCGCCCAGUGGCCUUGAUCUCCACAGUGGAAACAUCCUCUGCCUCCUCCUUGUGCUGGGGCUGCUUGGUUGCUCUGAUUUGUUGCUGGGGCAGGAAGGCGAGGUGCCUGGUUGUUCUGCUUCUGAUACUGAUUACCUCCCUGCUGGCUGUGCGGACGAUACUGCUGCUGCUGCUGUGGGUACUGCCUCUGAAACUGCUGCUGAUGCGGACGCUGAUUCUGAUUCUGAUAUCCCUGUGGGUGACCAGGUCUGCCUUGCUGAGAUGAACUGCCUGAGAAACGUGGACGGCUGAUGCCUCCGGACUGGGGUCCACUCAUCUUGCGCUUCCGAUCUUCCAUAUCCUUACGCUUCUUCUCAGUCAUAACUGCCCUAUCGAUCAGGUGCUGGAAGGUUGGGAAGGUAUGAUUCAUCAGCUGGUAAUGCAGGGGAUCCACCAAACCUCUCAUGAACCUGUACUGCCUCUUAGCAUCAGUCUUGACAUCCUCGGGUGCAUAGCGAGAUAGCUGCAGAAACUUGUCUCUGUACUCACUAACAGACAUGGGUCCCUGCUUCAGAGCCAGAAACUCCUCCUUCUUCACGAUCAUCAGUCCCUCUAGCACAUGGUACCGACGGAAACUCUCGCUGAAUUCUUCCCAGGUGAUGGCUUCGGGGUCAGCAUGGGUGGCGAGGUAGGACUCCCACCAGGACUGGGCUGCUCCCCUCAGCUGACGAGGGCCAUAUAGAACCUUCUCCUUGUCGUUACAUUGGGCGGUGCGCAGCUCCCUUUCCACUACGCGCAGCCAGUCUUCUGCAUCCAUGGGGUCAGCAGAAUGGGCGAAGGUAGGAGGGUGCCCUCUCAUGAACUCACCACGCUUAUCUCGUGGCAUCUGGGGCAUCUGCACCUGCAAUUGGGGUUGGGGUUGCUGUUGAGCCUGCUGCAUGGCUGCCAGAGUCUGCCCAAUGGCCUGCACUGCCUGGGUCUGCAUCAAGAACAUCUGCUCCACUGACAUCGGGGGUGGUGGGGGAGGCUGCCUCUGUUGUUCCUCCUGCUGGUCAUGCUGCUCUUGCUGAGCACGCCUGUUGCAUCGGCGCCUGUUGUCAGACAUCUGUGGAAGACAUUCAUACAUCAGCAUUGAUCUUACAAUCCUUCAGCAUAAGAAAAGAGAAUACAGAAUUCUUCAUGACACUGAGUGAACAAAGAGCUUCACUGAUCCUCAUUCAUGAUUCAACACAGCUUCUCAGAUAAGAAGGAAAGUAAGAGUAAAGGGUUUCCCAACUAAACAACUGACUUCAUUAACAUUACUAGCUAAGCCAAACUGCAGGGGGAAACCCACAUGUUGGCCACAGUCAUUACAAAGAUUCGAAUCCAGCACAAGUUCAUCAUAACAAGCAUGAAAGCAACUGAUAAGCAAACUAAACUAAAUGGAAGCAACUGAUAAGCAAACUAAACUGACUACCUAAGACUGAGACAUCUGACUUAAGAAUUAUUACAAACUCCGACGCUAACGAUCUAAGGAUCCAGAUCUAUCCUGGUCUUACAGACAGGGGAACCAUAAGUGUGGUGACCACGUGGCGGUGAGCGGUAAGGGUGCUGAGUCCCAACAGGUGCGGGAGAACCACCCUCCUGGUGAUGGCGCUCUGCCAGCUCAGCACGCAACUCCGCAAUCUCCGUUCGAGCCCUGCUUAGCUCGUCCAGAGAGUGAUCCAGCUCAGUGUUAAGCACCGCGACUAGGUUGACUGUGCUGCUCAACCUAGGGUUAGCCUCACCAACAGGUGAGACAACCACACUCUCUGUGCUGCCAGUAGGGCGGCGGGGGUAGUACCGAAGGUUAAGACCGUCGGCCACGCCACCGAACAAAGAACAGUACUGGGAGAGUGCACGCCGUGCUGCAUCCUGCAUAGCCGCCUCUACAGUGUCCCUCUCGAAGAUGGAAUAGUGCUCCGAAACGGCCUCCGCACCCCGGAGGUCAUCCUCCGGACGGCGAACUAGGCAGGUAGCCUCCCAGCGGUCCGGGUACCUCCCGCGACUGUGCUGGUAGACUACACAACGAUACUCGAUCGACCAGGUGUGCCGGUCGAAAGCCUGGCGCAGCAAGGUGUCAAGUGCGUCGUGGAAGUGACAACCGCGAGCGGCGUCACGGGUGAUGGGUCGGGCAACCCAUCCUUCCGCCUCCUGCGGCUCAGAGGACUCCGUGCUGUGGUCUGAGUCGCCGUCGUCGGGGUCUCCUCCAGGACCUCCUCCAGUAGCUCCUCCAACAGCCGGAACGUCCCGCGGUGGUGCAGGGGGCGCCUCCAGCUGGGCAACAGAGGAACGGGGCCUCACGGACUCCCCCUCUUGCUGGGGUGGGGAGGAAGAGCCCUGCUGCUCUCUGUGCUGGCGCCGGCGUUCCUGCUCCUCACGCAGGCGGUGGUGCAGCCUCUCCAGGUGACUCGACUGACCGGACACGGUGCGGUGCAGAGGACGCUCCGCAAGUCGAGACGGCAGGAAAGGAAUCACCGACUUACGUGCAGUGUGUCUAAGACGAGCCAUCUACAAAAGACACCGUAAGCAUAAGAGUAAGAGCAGAACUAAUAUGACAAGUGAAUAAACCAUAGACAGAAUAAGAUAAAAAUUUUAACAAGAUAUAAUAUAGUAUAUAUAUGUAGUAAAACGUAGGGUUGGUCGAGGUGACCGACUUUUGAAGCAACAUCAGAGGUCAAGGUGAGAGGGGAGGUCAAUAGUCCUUAGUACGACCAGUGCUACUCUAGGUCAGCGGUCCUACAGUCAGCACGGCUUUGAUACCACUUAUGUCACACCCGGUUUUGGAAGGUAAACCGAAUGCGAACCAUGUACGUGCCAGGAUCAGAAAUUCACGUACAUGGCGAUUACAUAAAUGACUCAUCAUAGCACAAUGCUUCGAAUAACAAUAAAGAUAAGUAAUAAUAUGAAAGACUAGAGUCAUUUACAUAAUAUAAUCAAAGUACACAGAACAGAAACGUAGCCAACGUAAAUAAACCCACCACAGGCAGCUGACUGGGGGAGGUCGCUAGCCUAAUCCUCGAACUCGUCGAAGUCCUGGAACUCCUGGAGAUUCACCUCGACGCCUUCUUGUUUACCUGAGCAUAGAUUGCACCAAAGGCAACCUGGUGUUUUGUGAAAGCAAGGGUGAGUACACAUCAACGUACUCAACAAAUGUCCUGUUUGGCUGAGGUGGACUAGCUUUAUGUGGGGUUAAGCUCAAGCAGUUGCUUUUAGUUGGUCAGGUAUUUAUUAUCAGUGGAAGCCAAGUUUUAGUAAUAACCAACCUGUGAACCAUUUCCUCAUCGAGGAACAUCAUCAUCAUAGUCGAACCCAAAACCAUAAACAUAAUCCUUGUAUCUCGAACCAUCUGUAUCUCUAAUCAAAGAGGAUCCCAAGGCUGCUCUUAACCGUGAGCACGACUGAUAUAUCAGUUUCACUACCCUCUGCAGAGGUCGCACACUUUACCCAUGAGCCGUGAUUCCCGUUCUGCCCGGGGAGAGCUAAUCCCCAUUGACCACUACCUAGGUGGUCCGGCAGGGCAUCACUACGUAGCUUUUACAAAGAUUCCCUAGAGAUCAUAGCUGCCCGUUAGGUUUCUCCAGUUUGAUAAACACAGUACCCCUCCCCGCAGGAGAGUGACUAACAAAGAGCAAAACGAAAGAACCUCGGCACUCAGCCUCGGCAGAGCAAGCACUGUGCCUGGACCCCAUUGACGGCACGACGGCUAAGCAACUUGUAAUAUCCCAAAAAAAAUGUUGACCAAAAGUUAAUCUCUGGUGCAUGGAUGAGGUAAAGGGUUGUGGGCCAUUGGAUGCAAAGAUAGAAGUCAUCUGAGGCGUCAUUUCUUUCUCCCACAAAAACCCUAGGUGGCCACCCUUUUUUUUCCCUUCACCCCCCCCUCUUGGCCGCCACCCCCUUUUUCUCCCCCUUGGCUGGACGCCCCCUCCCCCUAUGGCAGCCAUCCUCCAUUGCUUCCUCCCCCAAGAUCUCCCCCUACGCAGCAAGGAUCGAGAAAAGGAGGGGCACGUUGAAUUGAAGAGGAAGAGAGGAUCAAGGAGAUGUUCUUCCCCAUCUCCUCUUGAAGAUUUCUUGGGGAAACCCUAGGUAUGGAUGAGAUCCUUGUUCCUCCCUGUAAUUAUAGGCUUUUGGAGGUUGUGGAUCAUGGGAAUUAAAGGAUUAGAGGUUGGAUUUGAUGUGGGGUUAGGUUUUGAUCUCGAAUUUAGUUUUCUGUAGAAUGGCAGAUUCGACAGCUUCUGUUCAUGCCAGUUUUCCGUGGUCUUAGUGGCCUCAAAAAAAUAAAAAGUCUAUGUAUGAGUCGUAGAUAAUUUGUAGAUCUUUCCGUGGCCGCGAAGAACACCUCAAUCGGACAUCCGACCAGAAAGUUAUUGCAGUUUUACUAUAGCAGUUUUUCAGUCUCAUAAUUCUGUGCAGAAUCUGUUCUCUUAAGAUUUAGGCAAUUUUAUCAACAGAAUUAAACUGUGGGUUGGUAAAAGAAGUUGUAGAUAAUUUUAUAAGCUUUCCAGAUUGUUAAAGAGUGCAUUCAUAUGAUUUGUGAAACUCCAGUUAUGUUUGUUUUACUGUGGCUGUUCCUGUUUACCUGACAAAAAUGAGUGGGUCUGUUCACUGGUGGGUUUCAUCUAGUAAAUGGCCGAAUUGGCUCUUCCAACUAUGGAGACUUUUGUAGAGGGAUAAAAGUUCUUACUUCCAGCAGAAUUUCAUAAUUUUUGGUUCAGCAGUUUUGGAGAUAUCGAAUUUUAAAGUUAACCAUACUGCUGUCUAAAACAGAUUCAGUCAGUUAUCUUGUCAGAUGUUUUAGAACUUGUAGAUGGCAGAAUUUAAUUAUCUAUUGAAUACUGAAGUUAUAGAGUAUUUUGUGUAGAUACUCCUAGAGUAUUUGUUUGAUAUCACCGCUGUUUUAAUUUUGAAGAUACAAAAUUAACAAACAGCGUUGCUGCUGUAUGGCAUGUGGUUCAGGGUGGGAGUCUUUCCACUGGGUCUUGGUUUCAAGUGUAGGAGUGUUUUGUUGAUUGAUGGCAAAUGUUUGUGAAAUAUUUGUACUAAGUUUUAUGCCCACUAGCAGGUGGCUACACUCCAGAUCAUGUCUAGUACAUUUCUUCUUCUUCGAUGAAGGCAAGUGAAUGUAGCGGUGGUUGCUUCCGUUCUGACCUGUUAUUUCUAUCGCCUACACUCUAAUAUUCAGAAGUAUCAGAUUCUUUCAUAAUUGGACUCUAUGGUGAUGCUUUACUUGCUUGCAUUAUACUGAUGCUCAAUCAUAUAUUGAUGAUGAUUAUGAUUUGAGUAUGACUCAUGAGAUUAAUUCACACCCCUGAAGGUAAAUGAAGUAUUAUUUGAGGUUGGUAUUGUAUCUGAAGGUAAAUGAAGUAUUAUUUGAGGUUUGUGUUGUAUCUGAAGGAAGUGAAGUUUAUUGAUAAAUGUAGCAUGCCAUAUACAUUGCAUGACUCAUUUGCAUAUGAAGUUUUGUCGUGACCUAUGGUCCGACCGUACCGGUACAACUUAGCAUCGUACGUUGCCCGAGAAGGGGUACGAUGCGGCUUCAUACCCUUAGAGGUAUGAAGGCAGAGGACAUAUGCAUUGCAUUCAUAUGCAUUCAUUGAAGUGAUAUUUGCAGAUGAUGUGGUUUUAUACCCCCAGAGGUAUGAAGAUAGAGUACCUACACAUUGCAUUCCUAUGCAUACAUUGAAGUGAUAUUUGCAGGUAUUGUUGACGCAGGGAAGUGUUAUAGAACCUAUUGUGGUUGUUCGAGGAAAUGAGAUGGUAUUGGUUAUAGUGGGACUACUGAGUUCUAUAUCUACAAGCAUUUCUGAUUUUUAAUUGUGACUCUUUUAAAAUGUUGAUGAAUUCAAUUUGUGGUUUAAAUAUCUCGUCAGAACAAUUAGCUUGCUGAGAUGUUUCAUCUCACUCUUGCAUUACGCAAUGCAGGUGCUUGUUGCUCAUCAAGGGGAGUGGGAAGUAGCAGCACAUCCACCUUCAUUCUCAUAAUAAUGCUGCCCAGACGCAGCCAUGAUUUAAUUAGAAACUUCUUGUCAAAGGAUGUUUGUUUUUAACUAGUCGUGCGCACUGAUUAAUUCAGUUCAUGUUGUUAUGGUUGUCUUCCCAUUGCUAGCAGAUUAUUAAUGUCUUAUAUGUUUUCUUAUCAUGAUAUCUAUUUAUACUUUGUUGCUUCCCCCAUUUAUGCAAUUUUCAAAGGAGAUGCUGUCGAAAUUUUAUAUAUGAAUAUUAGAUGUGUAGUUUAGUAGCAUUCUGGGGUGUUUGUGGAUCCCGGGGUGUUACAGUUGGUAUCAAAGCAUAGGCUUUAGAUUCUUGGCAAUUUGAAGAUAAAUUUGACACACUUGCACAUAUAGGAAGGGUAUGGGUUCAAAUAUCUUUGAUAUAUAUUAAUGUCUUUGGAGUGCAGAUGACAAUAGUUUCACCCCUCCCUAUUCCUUUACGGUGAUGUGGUAAGUUGUUUAUGGCUUAAUGCUUGAUAUAAUUUAUUUCUGAAAUUUUGAUAUUGUUUUAUUAAUGCGGUAGAUAUCGCUGGUCAUUGGUGAGAAUGAAGUUGUUAUUAUGCUUGUGAUAUACAAGUAUGCCUAUGUUGUUUUCACCAUGUUUUUCAUGGUUGAGUUUUAUUACAAUAAUAUUGUUAUAUAUGCUUGAUUGUGGAUGUUUCUAAGAGGAGUGUGAAUUGCGUGUUUUGGGGUACAAGGUAAUCAUCAAUUUGAAUUUAAGUUGUUGAGCGGUUGGUGGAUAGCUCCAACUAUCAUUGCAAAGAAUGAUUGUUUAUGUUGAGAAACCAGUUUUGAAAGAAAUGAAUAUUGGUACUUUAUAUGGAUUUUUGGGGGAAGUCUUUUCAUAGCCAGAAUGGCUUACAUGUCUCUCUCAUAUUGUGUGUUUUAGUUGCCACAAAGCCUAGAUGUGGUUUAAAGUGGUUGCCUGUUAGUCAUACUAAUUGUAGAAUAAAUCUUUGAUUCUUUUGAUCCAUUGAUUAUGUAUUGAUACAUUGAGGAUCUGAUGGUUCCCUUUUCGAUGCAUGCUUGUGGAGCCAUUUUUUUUAGACCACCUAUCUAUUGGUUUGAAGGAAGUCCUUGCCUAGCCUAGAGUUGGUUGGGUGUGGCUAGUCACCUAUUCCUAGAUCAUGUGGUGUUUACAUCAGCUUAAUAUGUUUGUCAAAUGUGUGAAGGAUUAGGGGUUAUUAUUAUUGACUUUGUAUGUCUGGUACUUUGAGUGCAUCGUAUGAUAGAAUGAAAUGUAAGUUUCUGAACUACAGUAGAUGAAGACUUAUAUUAUGUGUAGGUUAUCCUUACUAGUUGGAUAUUUUUCUUAGUUGAGAUGUUGAAUGAAGUAUAGUGACAUGGGUUAAGCAAGUAUUGUGUUGUUGUUGGGCUAUCAGUGCUCUAUGUAGAGUUUUUGGCAUUUCUUCGAUGAACUAUGCCGCACAAGAUGUUAUUGGCUUCUUUUGGCUUUAUUGCUCCAUUAGUUCUAUAGAUUUUCUCCCUUUUGGUGGGGUGCAAGGAAUGUUAGAUUACAUGAUUAUCUUUUCAUGAUGGCAAGAAUAAGGUUUAGGAAGAUUAGGAGUUUUGUUCCAAUAGAACUACUUGUUUCAUAGUGCUUUAAGGUGAGGUGUUUGAUCUUCUUAUACAUUCGUCGGGUGUAGAUGUUUCACCAUUUAAUUAAAAUUAAUGGUUGAAGUUGGUAAGGGUUGUGCUUGGUGCAUAUUACCCCUUCAUAAAAGAGUGUUGUCUUAAGACAUUGAUGUUGAUGUAUAGCUGCAUCCAAAUUUGAUGGUGUGAAAUUGGAGUGUUGAUUGCAACUAUGACAUGCUUUGAGCUUCAUUACAUGUUGUUUCAUGCUUGAUGUCAGGUCGUGUAGUUUCCUUAGACAAUUAGUCCAAGGUAGAAGUUCUUGUGUUAAUUAAGACCAAUAAUGGACCCAUGUUUUGAAUUGUGGUGCUAUAUGGGGUACCUUGGGUGUUUUGCUUGGAGUGGCCGAAUUCGAGGUCGAAUUCUUUUUAAGGGGGGUAGAGUGUAAUAUCCCAAAAUAAAUGUUGACCAAAAGUUAAUCUCUGGUGCAUGGAUGAGGUAAAGGGUUGUGGGCCAUUGGAUGCAAAGAUAGAAGUCAUCUGAGGCGUCAUUUCUUUCUCCCACAAAAACCCUAGGUGGCCACCUUUUUUUUCCCUUCACCCCCCCCUCUUGGCCGCCACCCCCUUUUUCUCCCCCUUGGCUGGACGCCCCCUCCCCCUAUGGCAGCCAUCCUCCAUUGCUUCCUCCCCCAAGAUCUCCCCCUACGCAGCAAGGAUCGAGAAAAGGAGGGGCACGUUGAAUUGAAGAGGAAGAGAGGAUCAAGGAGAUGUUCUUCCCCAUCUCCUCUUGAAGAUUUCUUGGGGAAACCCUAGGUAUGGAUGAGAUCCUUGUUCCUCCCUGUAAUUAUAGGCUUUUGGAGGUUGUGGAUCAUGGGAAUUAAAGGAUUAGAGGUUGGAUUUGAUGUGGGGUUAGGUUUUGAUCUCGAAUUUAGUUUUCUGCAGAAUGGCAGAUUCGACAGUUUCUGUUCAUGCCAGUUUUCCGUGGUCUUAGUGGCCUCAAAAAAAUAAAAAGUCUAUGUAUGAGUCGUAGAUAAUUUGUAGAUCUUUCUGUGGCCGCAAAGAACACCUCAAUCGGACAUCCGACCAGAAAGUUAUUGCAGUUUUACUAUAGCAGUUUUUCAGUCUCAUAAUUCUGUGCAGAAUCUGUUCUCUUAAGAUUUAGGCAAUUUUAUCAACAGAAUUAAACUGUGGGUUGGUAAAAGAAGUUGUAGAUAAUUUUAUAAGCUUUCCAGAUUGUUAAAGAGUGCAUUCAUAUGAUUUGUGAAACUCCAGUUAUGUUUGUUUUACUGUGGCUGUUCCUGUUUACCUGACAAAAAUGAGUGGGUCUGUUCACUGGUGGGUUUCAUCUAGUAAAUGGCCGAAUUGGCUCUUCCAACUAUGGAGACUUUUGUAGAGGGAUAAAAGUUCUUACUUCCAGCAGAAUUUCAUAAUUUUUGGUUCAGCAGUUUUGGAGAUAUCGAAUUUUAAAGUUAACCAUACUGCUGUCUAAAACAGAUUCAGUCAGUUAUCUUGUCAGAUGUUUUAGAACUUGUAGAUGGCAGAAUUUAAUUAUCUAUUGAAUACUGAAGUUAUAGAGUAUUUUGUGUAGAUACUCCUAGAGUAUUUGUUUGAUAUCACCGCUGUUUUAAUUUUGAAGAUACAAAAUUAACAAACAGCGUUGCUGCUGUAUGGCAUGUGGUUCAGGGUGGGAGUCUUUCCACUGGGUCUUGGUUUCAAGUGUAGGAGUGUUUUGUUGAUUGAUGGCAAAUGUUUGUGAAAUAUUUGUACUAAGUUUUAUGCCCACUAGCAGGUGGCUACACUCCAGAUCAUGUCUAGUACAUUUCUUCUUCUUCGAUGAAGGCAAGUGAAUGUAGCGGUGGUUGCUUCCGUUCUGACCUGUUAUUUCUAUCGCCUACACUCUAAUAUUCAGAAGUAUCAGAUUCUUUCAUAAUUGGACUCUAUGGUGAUGCUUUACUUGCUUGCAUUAUACUGAUGCUCAAUCAUAUAUUGAUGAUGAUUAUGAUUUGAGUAUGACUCAUGAGAUUAAUUCACACCCCUGAAGGUAAAUGAAGUAUUAUUUGAGGUUGGUAUUGUAUCUGAAGGUAAAUGAAGUAUUAUUUGAGGUUUGUGUUGUAUCUGAAGGAAGUGAAGUUUAUUGAUAAAUGUAGCAUGCCAUAUACAUUGCAUGACUCAUUUGCAUAUGAAGUUUUGUCGUGACCUAUGGUCCGACCGUACCGGUACAACUUAGCAUCGUACGUUGCCCGAGAAGGGGUACGAUGCGGCUUCAUACCCUUAGAGGUAUGAAGGCAGAGGACAUAUGCAUUGCAUUCAUAUGCAUUCAUUGAAGUGAUAUUUGCAGAUGAUGUGGUUUUAUACCCCCAGAGGUAUGAAGAUAGAGUACCUACACAUUGCAUUCCUAUGCAUACAUUGAAGUGAUAUUUGCAGGUAUUGUUGACGCAGGGAAGUGUUAUAGAACCUAUUGUGGUUGUUCGAGGAAAUGAGAUGGUAUUGGUUAUAGUGGGACUACUGAGUUCUAUAUCUACAAGCAUUUCUGAUUUUUAAUUGUGACUCUUUUAAAAUGUUGAUGAAUUCAAUUUGUGGUUUAAAUAUCUCGUCAGAACAAUUAGCUUGCUGAGAUGUUUCAUCUCACUCUUGCAUUACGCAAUGCAGGUGCUUGUUGCUCAUCAAGGGGAGUGGGAAGUAGCAGCACAUCCACCUUCAUUCUCAUAAUAAUGCUGCCCAGACGCAGCCAUGAUUUAAUUAGAAACUUCUUGUCAAAGGAUGUUUGUUUUUAACUAGUCGUGCGCACUGAUUAAUUCAGUUCAUGUUGUUAUGGUUGUCUUCCCAUUGCUAGCAGAUUAUUAAUGUCUUAUAUGUUUUCUUAUCAUGAUAUCUAUUUAUACUUUGUUGCUUCCCCCAUUUAUGCAAUUUUCAAAGGAGAUGCUGUCGAAAUUUUAUAUAUGAAUAUUAGAUGUGUAGUUUAGUAGCAUUCUGGGGUGUUUGUGGAUCCCGGGGUGUUACACAACUACACCUCCAGUUCCUCCAAUUAAUCAGCUAAGGGCAUCCCAUUUCACCCUCAUGGUUGCACUGUUAUCCCGGGUGGUCUCUCAACGAACAGGUCCUUACGGAGAGGUACUCAGGAAACAGCCUGAGCCCCCUAGAGUAUCACAAGAUCAUCAACAUCAUCAGGAUAACAGUAUCAUAGAUAGUCACAUCAUGUUCAUUGAUUAAGUUAAGGCAAAAGCAGAGUGCUAACCAUAACAACCCAAUAGGUCAUCAAGGACAAAGUAAAGUGUAAAGCUAGUCAAUCCUUAGGUUUCAAGUAAGUAGUGCGGGGUAGUAAGUUAUAAAUGAAUAGGACAUAAUGGGACAGAGGACACUUGCCUUCACCCAACUGCUGAUCAGGGACUUCCUCUGCAACUUCCUCGGGAAACACAGACUGCUCGUUGUCUACGUAAAGUAAUCAUUCACACUAUGCACUUGGGAAGAUAACAAACAAAAAGCAACAUACCAAACAUAUGCAGCAGAGAGAUCACAAGUUCAUAGUUGAAAAGGGAUAGGCACUCUGGUGUUCCCUAGGUCUGGGGUAGAGGACUAUACAAAGUGAUUUAUUAUCCACUAAUCAGGUUUAAGUCAGUGGAGGGAUUAAAUCAUUACAUGGUUUUAAGUUCCUAAACUUAGGUGUUUAAGUCCAUAAACUUAAGUAUUCUAACUUUCAUUAAAGUCUACCAACUUCUAAUUAUCUCAAAUAGGGUUCCAAUAGCCUUAAUCCUAUCCUAGUGAUUAACUAUUAAUUGGUACAUGGAAACAGUAGGAAAACAUUGUUUAAAUAGAUAGACAAAAACAUCAUGAGCAUUUUGCAAUUUGAAGCACCUCAUUUGGAGUUCAUAUGACAAAGUUAUGGAUUUUACAAGUUUAGGGGUUAAAAAUAUACCCUAAAUACCUAUUUUGAAUUAAAUAAAUGUCCCAGGGACCUAACCGAGAGAAACCAGGGACGGCGGGUUCAAAUUCCAUAAAACCGGGGGUCUCUUUAAGAAAACGCGCGGGCGAAGGGGUAUCGGGCUACUACGACCGUCAGAUCUAAAGCGAACGGCCAGGAUUAGAUCCUGCGGGCGGGCGCGCGAGCGCGCGGCGGCCUGGGCGGCUGACAGGCGGGACCGGGCGGGCAGCGCGGGGCGCGGGCAGGCUGACAGGCGGGGCCCAAACGGCAGGGGGACGGGGUGUGGGGGAAGCGGGCCUGGGCCGCUGGAUCUCCGGCGGACGGCCAGGAUUAGGCUUGACCUAAUUAAAACGGGACCGCCCGAUCUGGGACGGACGGUGGGGAUCGGGUGGCCGGCCUGGGCUUCUCCUACGGCUAGCUGGGGCGGCGGCGCUCGUCCCCGCGGCGGAGGACUCGCCGGAGACGAGGGGCGCGGGCGUUUGGCGGGUCUCUGGGGCGAACUGAGUGGUCGGGAAGGUUGGGGAGGGCACGGGGAGUCCUCUGGUGGGGUCUGGGUCGGGGCAGGGGCACCGGAGGGGGGCGGCCCACGGCGGAGCGGCUCGGCGGCGGCAUAAAUCUACUCCGGCGAGGAAUUACACAUGGCAGAAGGCAAUACACGGGUCGAUAGGGGCGGGAGAGGUUCUUUACCUCAAGGCGGGCUCCGGGGAUUCCUCGGUGGCGGCAAUGGCGCGACGGUGGCCCGGGGCGGCGGUGGCGGACCUCCGCGGCUGCACGGGGAACGGCGGGUGAGCGCGGGCAGAGAGAAAUAGGGAGGGGGAGAGGGAAUUGGGGCGCAUCCCGGGUUGCGGACGCCGGGGCGAAGCUCACCGUGGCAACGGACACGGCGGAGCUCCAACGGCGGCCGGGAAAUGAGCUCGGGACGGCGGGGAUUUGUGGCGGCGGUGCUCUGGCGUGCGCGCAGCGAGGGAGAGGUGGAAGAGGGGUCUGCUGGAGCGCAAAUGGGGGAGGGGGAGAGGGCGAGUGGGGCUCGGGGCUCAAGUGGCCAGGGGCGGGGCGGUUGCGAGCUCCACGCGCGACGUGGGCGCGGAGAAGGCGGCCGCGCGCAGCUCGGGCGGCGGUUACGCGAGGACGACGGGGCUGACAAGCCGGGCCCGCGAGCAGAGAGAGAGGGGAGAGCGGGGGCGGCCGCGCGGAAAGCGGCCGCGCUGACGGGCGGGCCCGCCAGGGCAGAGAGAGCGGGGGGGGGGGGGGGGAGAGGGCGCGCGCGCGGGAUGGGCCUGGCUGGGCCGAAAGGCUGAGGGGGCGGCGGGGUUGGGCUUCUUUCCUCUUUUCUUUUAUUCUGGAAUUGUUUUCUCUUUUCUUUUUAUUUUCUCUAUUUGAUUCAAAUCCAAAUAAGCCACAAAUUCAAAUUAGACUUUCCAAGAAUUAUGCACCAAGCAAAAGUGAAAUCUAGGGUUCAACAUGAUGCAGCAAUUCAUACUCCCUUAGGGUUUAACCUAUUAAACUAUAAUUACAAAUAAAAUAAGCACUUUUCUCCUAUAGAAAUGAGAAAGAAAAGAAUGAGGAAGGAUGAGAAAAGGGAAGUAACACCUGAAUUUGUGAAUAUGAGCAAAGAAAUUUUAUACCCCCAAAUUCAGGGUGUUACACAAGGGGAGGGGGCACAUGCAUGGGGGAGGGGCAGGGGCGCUAGGGGCGUGCGGGCCAGGGCUGGGCCGGGCUGGGUCGCGUCACGGGGCCAAAAACCCAUGACACGCACAACCACCAAUCGAAAUCCGAUCGCGAACCGAAAUCCGAAACGAGACGAGACUAACACGCGAUUAAACACAACAUCAGACAAGAGAAAUAUGCUUUGGCAUGAUGCAACACUCAUGUCAACUUAGGUUUUUGUUUACACACGAUAUGGACACCAGUCGCUAUAUUGCUUUGAAAUUGGGAAGAAGGAGCAAAACGGGAAGAGAAAAGAGAGUAACGCCUGAAUUUGGUGAGUAAAAAGAAGAAAAAAUCCUACCCCCCAAAUUUAGGGCAUUACAGCCCUCUUAUAAAUAAUCGCUCCCUCGAGCGGUUUUGUGGCGCCUUGCUUUUACCUUCUUCGGGUGAUUCCUCCGUGACCCCUUAUGGACUCAGGCAAGCAUCUGGCAAAAGAGCGCCACCGAUGUUGUGCCCUCUCCAUCAAAAAGAUGAUUGACUCAGGGCAAGUGCUCUUCCUUGUCUUGUCCCUAGAUUCUCGUGAUGGUGUUUGUCUCAUUUUUUCCUUGCAUAGCCAAGUGAUGUCGAUGGGGCAGGUGAAAGACUUCGGGAUGUCCUUCAGCCAGGGUGGGAUGUCGACCCUUUUGUCGCAGACCUCCUCAGACCUCCAAGAGAGCCUGACCACCACCAACACUGCGCUCGAGGUUGCUGAUGGCAAGGUGGCCAAUCUCCGUGUUCGCCUGGAGGAGGUAGACCAUUGUGUCAUGGGUAGGUGGUGUCAAGGCGGACUCCAUUUUUGUUUUGUCUUACUCCUCUCUCUCUCUCUGAUUGUCCUAUGCCAUUUUCAGAGUUAGAGCUAGAGGUUGUCGAUUGCCGGUGUUUGUGACCUGACUGCGCACCACAGGGUUACCCACAUGAUGCCUUUGAGUAGGAUGGUGUCAUUGACUGUGACUCGAUGGUACGUGCGGGAUCACAUCGGUAUUGCACAGAGGUUUUUAUAGGUUUGGGCCACUUUGCAAUGCGUAACACCCUACUUCCUGUUGUGGCUGUGUAUUUGGUUUUUCUAGAGUAUGAAGAUUACAAGUGAGCUUUGUGGGUGCUCAGGUGAGAUGGGGUAAGAUGAGAUGAUUUUGUAGGGGUCCCCCUCGACCUUAUAUACACGACCAGAGAGUUAUCCCAUUACAAAUUGUGAUCACUAUCUAUUAUACUUAUCUCCUUAUUUGCCAUGGCUUGUAGCCCUACAUAUCUGGAGCUUUGAUCACCUUCUCGUUCAAGUCAUCGCCGAAUGCUUAGCUCUUAAGGUGCUCGCAACUGCAUCGCCCAAGAUAUCAGUGCUUCGGUAGCGCAUAACUCAGAUGCCGAUCUAUGUCCUCUUGGGUUAGAUUCACACAACCUAAUUAUAAAUUGCCAGCCCAUCCCGCUGGAUGUACCAGUGGGUGGCCCAUCAGGCAGCCCAUGAUAUGUUUUAGUGUUCGUGAGGACCCGAGGGAUAUCUAUCUCCCACAAGCCCCCCGAGGCUCAAGCCAACUUUUGAGAGUAGUUUGCUCGAGACUCUAAGGAGUAAUGACACCCUUUGUUUCUUCCAAGCUUUUUUAAGGCAAUUUUGUUCCAUCUCUGUAUCAAUUGGGUGCACUGUAGGUGCACCCAAUGGGUGUAGGUAUCAAUCAACUCAAUGGUCUUCAUAGUCCGCUUUUGAGUUCAGCGUUUGCUUCAUCCUUGUGUCCAUUAGGUGCACCGACCCAAUGGGUGUAGCCCUCGAGCUUUGAAUUGAUUUGAGUAUCAAUCAACUCAAAGGUAUUUAUAAUUUGCUUUUGAGUGCAGCGUUUUCUUUUGUCCUUGUAUCAAUUGGGUGCACCGCAGAGUAUCAAUCAACUCAAAGGUCUUCACAAUCUGCCUUAGAAAAUUAUGGUUUACUAUGAUAAUCGUGCCCGACUGAGAUUUGCCCCACUGAGCAUGCGCUGGCUGAGAUCUAGCCGAUUGAGACCUGACCGACUAAGUUCGAGCUGAUAGAAGUCCGACUGGACGGCAAUCAGUCAGGGCUUUUAAUCUGACCGCUCACUGGGUUCCAACCGGUAGAAGUUCGGCUGACUCUAGUUUGACCGAUCUUGAGUUUGUCGUUUUGUAACUUCUAUGGAUAUCUCAUGGAUCAGGCUGUUUUAGAAAAUCCCAAAAAAAUCUGGCCUGUACACCCAAUGGGUGUACCUAAUGGUUGUGUAUAUUGUCUUGUCUCAAAAUAGUAACCUGACGUGAUAGGGGGUAGUAAUGCGCCUGAGCGAUUGGUAUUACUCUUCCCCAGUGUCGUGUUAUGCCAAUGGGUGUCAGUGACUUGCUCAUUUUCUAAGAAAUUUACACGGCUAUUGAAGUCUUUGUGACUGUUCGCUGUACGGAUGGGAGCCAAAGGGUUGUCCCUUGGACUCUUUAAAUAUACCGCUCGCCUGCGACCGUCUUCUUCACUUGCUCUGGUUUCUCUUCUCGCUCUCACUUCUCCACUGAAAAUCACAAUGGCUAGGAGCAAAGGUAGCAAGGGCAUGAGUGGUAGGAAAGACUAGAGUGGGAAGCAAUAACGUCCUCUGACUCCCCCUUCGGAGGACUUCGGUGACUCCGAGUUCUCGGAGGAGCAGUUCUCCUCCGAGGGCGAGGAGUCUCCACCGCUGGUUCCCCUCUCACCGUCGUCCGAGGGCCUGAUUGACUCGAUGGGGCUCUCUGCGGCGGAGAGGGCCUAUGUAUGAUCCAUCGAGCGGGCAGGGCUCGAAGGAACAGAUGACUCGAACGAGGAUGACUCUGAGGAGGAAUUCAAGGAGGAGGGCGACGGUGGUGAGGACAGGAGCGGCUAUGACAGCGGUGACGAGAGUGACAACAGUGGCAAUGGCGGCGGCAGAGGCGAUGGCGGCGACGACAGCGGCUACGACGAUGAUAAGGGCGGCAACGGAAAGGGCGAUGGUCACGGCAAUGGUAGGGGCGGCAGGGUGCCAUCGCGGGUAAGUAUUAGUAUAGUGUAGCGGUAGGUAGUAGUAGCAGAAAGAAUGGAAAUGGAAUAGGAUGGCGUGUUAUGCUAGGACCAAAACAAAAUUUGAACACUGACUUGUUUCAACAAUUCCUGUUGACUCGGAUGAAUUUAAAGUUGGUUCAAAUUGGGUUGGAAAGCUUAUCUCCUUAGCUUUCCAUCCAUAUAAAGCUCAACCUAAUCGGAGUUCGGAUGCAUCCUGGGCAUCCAUUUUAGUGCAGACUGGUCUUAGACUCCGAGGUGGAGAUGAAGUUGAGUCAGACUUCGCUUUCUCUUGUUGUGAACUGAGAGCCCCUAGAGGGGGUGAAUAGGUGAUCCUAUAAAAUUCAAUGCUAAAUAGUACAAACUUGGCUUAAAGACGUUAGUGCAAUUAAAACCAAGUUGCUAAAGUGAGAACUCUAGAAGAAAAACAAUCACAAUGAAUAGGAACACGAGACACAGUGAUUUUUAUCCUGUGGUUUGGCCAAAGCCUACUCCACGUUGUGGUGACCUCCCUCGGUCAAGGAUUGCACUCAAUCCCUCUCAAGUGAUCCAAUGAUCAACUUUGAGUACCACGAUUUCCUUCCUUUGUAGUCUUUUCCCGUUUGCGAGGAAUCUCCACAAAUUGGAGCCUCUCGUCCUUACAAUCUUUGAUCACAGGAGAAGCACAAGAGUAAGGAAGGGAAAGCAACACACGCAAGACUCAAUUCGCAACAACCACACACACAAGCCAAGACGUGAGCACAAAACACGACGCAAGGAGUUCACAACUCAAAUGGUGCUCAAAUCUCUAACACAAUGAUCCGAAUGCGUGGCAGCGGAGUCUAGGUGUCUUAGAAUGAUCAGAGAAUGCUUGGUGUUGUGCUCCAUGCGCCUAGGGGUCCCUUUUAUAGCCCCAAGGCAGCUAAAGUUCCAAUUGGAAGGCAAUUCUUGCCUUCUGUCGGGUGGCGCACCGGACAGUCCGGUGCACCACAAGACAUGAACAGUAGCUGCCCGGUGCCCAAUCUCCUUCCUUAUCAGGUGCAGCCGACCGAUGGACCUCUGGUCCUGUUGGCGCACCGGAAAUUGUUCGGUGCACACCGGACAGUCCGGUGUGACCAACCGAUCUUUGGCACGGGACACGCGUCGCCCGCUGAUGCGUUGCCGACCGUUGGUCGUGGGCGCCGUUGACUCACCGGACAGUCCGGUGCGCACCGGACAGUCCAGUGAUUUUUAGCCAUGGCGCCUUCGCUUUUUCCCGAGAGCGACGAGUUCGUCGCCGGGCCAGCCUGGGCACCGGACACUGUCCGAUGCACCACAGGCUGGUGCUGGUUUGGCUGAACACAACCAAUUUUUCUUCAAUUCAAUUCCUUUUGACUUGGCAAGAUUCCUGGCACUUAGAUAAAUAUAUUAGUACCCAAAAACAAUUUACUAAGGACGGAUACAUACCUUGUUCUUUGAUUUGCAUCUUAGCACUUAUGAACCAACAUAUUUUGUGUUGGGCAUUUAAUCACCAAAACAUUUAUAGAAAUGGCCCAAGGGCACAUUUUCCUUUCAAUCUCCCCCUUUUUGGUGAUUUAUGCCAACACAUUAAAAAGCAACUAAAGAGUGCAAAUUGAAGACCAAUUUUUCUUCACUUGGCAUAUUUGGAUCACUUUUGCACCACUUGGUUUGUUUUCGCAAAUCAAAUUCUUUUUCCUAUCUCUAAGUCAAACACACUUGUUUGGGCAAAUAGGGAGAUGUUUGAAGAGUAAUUCUUAUCAAGUGGCAAAAACUCCCCCUUUUCCCAUAAUCAAAAUUCUCCCCCAUAAUAGACCAAAUUUUGCAAUAAGAGUAUUUUGGACAAAAUACAAAAUGUAACUCUACUAUUUUCAAAGUUCACAAGUGGUUGGCUGAUCCAUUUGCUUUGGCCUUAAUUUUCUCCCCUUCGGCAUGAAGCACCAAAACAGGAUAACUUUUGGCCCUUUAACCCCAUUGCCUCGCCAAAAUGUCAAAUUGAAGCGAAAAGGCUAUGAGAACGCAAAGAGUAACGUAGGACAAGAUACAUUUUACCGGAAUGCAGUGGAAGCUCUUUCCUUGUCCAAGUUCACUUUCCCUUUCAAUGUUCCUUCGAGACUACUUCAAGUGCACUCAAACAAACAUGUUAGUCUCAAAGGAGUCAAGUUGUAGCACAUCUCCCCCUAAACAUGUGCAUUAUUUGCAUAGGGACUUGUGAGGUCCGGGAAUGACUUGUACAACUUGAGCACCAAAUAUAAGCAAAUGAGAUAGUAAAGCUAACAUUAACAUGAUCAAAGGCAUAAAACACAUGUUUGCCAAAUGUAUUUCUAUGUGCUUAGUGCGGCUAUGUUCAACAGGAUUAUCUGCCAAGCGGAUUGCACUCUCAUUGUCACAUAGGAGUGGGACUUUGCUCAGAUUGUAGCCAAAGUCCCAGAGGGUUUGCCUCAUCCAAAGCAGUUGCGCGCAACACUGUCCUGCGGCAACGUACUCGGCCUAAGCGGUGGAUAGGGCAACAUAUGUUUGUUUCUUGGAGCUCCAGGACACCAGGGACCAUCCUAGAAACUGGCACGUCCCUGAUGUGCUCUUCCUAUCAACCUCGCACCCGACAUAAUCGAAAUCUGAGUAUCUGAUUAAGUCAAAGGUAGACCCCUUUGGAUACCAGAUCCCGAAGCACGACAUAGAAAUUAAAUAUCUAAGAAUUCGCUUAACGGUCACAAGGUGACACUCCAUGGGGUCGGAUUGAAAUCUAGCACACAUGCAUACACUAAGCAUAAUGUCCGGUCUACUAGCACAAAGAUAAAGUAAUGAACCUAUCAUUGACCAGUAUGCCUUUUGAUCAAUGUACUUACCUCUUUUGUUGAGGUCUAGAUGUCCUUCAGUUCCCAUCGGUGUCUUUGCGGGCUUAGCAUCCUUCAUCCCAAACCUCUUGAGAAGAUCUUGAGUGUACUUCGUUUGAGAGAUGAAAGUGCCUUCCUUGAGUUGCUUCACUUGGAAUCCAAGUAAGUAGUUCAACUCGUCCAUCAUCAACAUCUCAAACUUUUGCAUCAUUACCCUGCUAAACUCCUCACAAGACUUUUGAUUAGUAGAACCAAAUAUUAUGUCAUCGACAUAUAUUUGGCAAACAAAAAGAUCACCAUCACAAGUCUUUGUGAAUAGAGUGGGAUCAGCUUUCCCAACCUUGAAAGCAUUAGCAAUUAAAAAAUAUCUAAGACAUUCAUACCAUGCUCUUGGGGCUUGCUUAAGUCCAUAGAGUGCCUUAGAGAGCUUGUACACAUGGUCGGGAUACCUGUCAUCCUCAAAGCCAGGGGUCACGUCCAUUUGGAACAACUUAAAGGAAUGGUGAGCGGCAUAGGCUAAUAAAAUUCGAAUUGAUUCUAAUCUAGCCACAGGAGCGAAAGUCUCCUCAAAGUCCAAACCUGCGACUUGGGCGUAACCUUUUGCCACAAGUCGAGCCUUGUUUCUUGUCACCACCCCGUGUUCGUCUUGCUUGUUGCGGAACACCCACUUGGUUCCCACAACAUUUUGCUUUGGACGUGGCACCAGGCUCCAGACUUUAUUUCUUUUGAAGUUGUUGAGCUCUUCCUGCAUGGCCAAUACCCAGUCUGGAUCUUGCAAGGCUUCUUCUACCUGAAAGGAUCAAUAGAAGAAACAAAAGAGUAAUGCUCAAUGAGAGCACCUAGAGGGGGGGGUGAAUAGGUGAUCCUGUAAAAUUCAACACUAAUAGCCACAAAACUUUGUUAUGUAAGUUAGAAUGGCUAAGUAGCUUGAAGCGAGUUCUUGUGAACACAAAUAAUCAAAGGUAAAGCACACAAGAGACACGUGAUUUUUAUCCCGUGGUUCGGCCAAGUAAUACUUGCCUACUUCCACGUUGUGGCGUCCCAAUGGAUGAGGGUUGCACUCAACCCCUUUCAAGUGAUCCAAUGAUCAACUUGAAUACCAUGGUUUUUCCUUUCUUUGUCUUUCUCCCAUUUGCGAGGAAUCUCCACAACUUGGAGCCUCUCGCCCUUACAAUGAUGAUCACAAAAGAUGUACGGAAGUAAGGGAGGGGAGAGCAACACACACAAGACUCAAAUCACAACACAAUCACGCACACAAGUCACAACUUGAGCUCAAAACACAACCCACGGAGUUCACAACUCAAAUGGAGCUCAAGUCACUAUCUCAAAGAAUCAAAUGCGCGAAGUUGGAGUCUUGGAGGCUUAGAAUGUUUCUUGAAUGCUUGGGUAGCUCCUCCAUGCGUCUAGGGGUCCCUUUUAUAGCCCUAAGGCAGCUAGGAGCCGUUGGAGGCCAACAAGGAAGGCUAUCCUUGCCUUCUGUCGGGUGGCGCACCACCGGACAAUCACUGUAGACGGUCCGGUGCCGAUCUCCUUCCUAUUCUGGCGCAGACGACCAUUGCAGAUUCAUGGCAGUUGGCGCACCGGACACUGUCCGGUGCACACCGGACAGUCCGGUGCCUCCUGCCGACCAUAGGUGCGGGCCACGCGUCGCCCGCGGAUUGCGCGGCCGACCGUUGCGAUGGCGACUAUUGGCUCACCGGACAGUCCAGUGCACCACCGGACAGUCCGGUGAAUUAUAGUCGCACGCCGCCAAUUUUUCCUGAGAGUGGCAUGUUCACCGGAAGCCAGCCUGGCGCACCGGACACUGUCCGGUGCACCACCGAACACUGUCCGGUGCACCACCGGACAGUCCGGUGUGCCAGAAUGAGCUGGACUUCGGCUGUACACAACCAAGUCACUUGCAAUCCAUUUCUUAUUUUCUUUUCUCUGUUUCUAGCACUUACACAAAAUAUGUUAGUACUCAAAAUAAUAUACUAUGUCUAGAAACGUACCUUGUUACAUGAUUUGCACUUUUUGCUUGUUUGGCACAUAAUAUCUCACUCACUAUGUGUUGGACACUUAAUCACCAAAACAUUAUAAAAAUGGCCCAAGGGCACAUUUCCCUUUCAAUCUCCCCCUUUUUGGUGAUUUAUGCCAACACAUCAAAAAGCAAUGCAAAACAUGCAACAUCGAUUCAAAUUGAAGACCAAAUUGUCUUUGACUCUAAUUUGGCAUAUUUGGAUCAUUCUUUGCCACCACUUGGUUUGUUUUUGCAAAUCAAAUUCAUUUUCCUAUCUCUAAGUCAACCACACUUGUUUAGGCACAAAGAGAGAUAUUCCAAUGGAAAAAUUGAUCAAGUACCAAAAACUCCCUCUUUUUGCCAUAAUAAAAAAUUCUCCCCCACAAGAGGCCAAAUUUUGCAAUAAGAGUAUUUUGGACAAAUCAAAAACCUAACUCUACUAUUUUCAAAAUUCUCAAGUGGUAGUUGAUCCAUGUGCUUUGGCCUUAAUUUCCCCCCUUUGGCAUUAAGCACCAAAACGAGAUCAUUUUUGGCCCUUGAACCCCAUUGCCUCACCAAAAAUGUCAAUUAAGAGCAAAAAGACAACUAGAGCAUAAGAAUGAACUUGGAGGUGAGUACACUAAUACCGGAGUGCAGUGGAAGUCUUUGCAUGGUCCAAGUUCACCUUUCCCUUUCAAUUCACCUUUGAGACUACAUCAAGUACACUUAAACACAAAGGUUAGUCUCAAAGGGUCAAGUUGUAGCACAUCUCCCCCUAAAUAUGUGCAUCAUUCACACAUGGACUUGUGAGGUCCGGGGAUCCCUUGCACAACUUUAGCACCAUAAAUAAGCAACAAAUUGCAUAAAUGUAUAUGUAACAUGAUCAAAGGCAUAAAACACAUGUAUGCUGUAAAUCAAUCCAAGUUACGUGAAUCUAAGACAUUUAGCUCACUACGCAACCUGCAAAAGGUCUUCUCAUCUAAUGGCUUGGUAAAGAUAUCGGCUAGCUGGUUCUCGGUGCUAAUAUGGAAAACCUCGAUAUCUCCCUUUUGCUGGUGGUCUCUCAGAAAGUGAUGCUGGAUGUCUAUGUGCUUAGUGCGGCUGUGUUCAACAGGAUUAUCCGCCAUGCAGAUUGCACUCUCAUUGUCACAUAGGAGUGGGACUUUGCUCAGAUUGUAGCCAAAGUCCCAGAGGGUUUGCCACAUCCAAAGUAGUUGCGCGCAACACUAUCCUGCGACAACAUACUCGGCCUCUGCGGUGGAUAGGGCAACAGAGGUUUGUUUCUUUGAACUCCAAGACACCAGGGACCUUCCUAGGAAUUGGCACGUUCCUGAUGUACUCUUCCUAUCAACCUUGCAUCCAGCAUAAUCGGAGUCUGAAUAUCCAAUUAAGUCAAAGGUAGACCCCUUUGGAUACCAGAUCCCAAAGCAAGGCGUAGAAACUAAAUAUCUAAGAAUCCGCUUAACGGCCACAAGGUGACAUUCCCUUGGGUCAGAUUGAUAUCUAGCACACAUGCAUACGCUAAGAAUAAUAUCCAGUCUACUAGCACAUAAAUAAAGUAAUGAACCUAUCAUAGACCGGUAUGCCUUUUGAUCAACGGACUUACCUCCUUUGUUGAGGUCGACAUGCCCGUCGGUUCCCAUCGGUGUCUUCGUGGGCUUGGCAUCCUUCAUCCCAAACCGCUUGAGAAGAUCUUGAGUGUACUUCGUUUGGGAGAUGAAGGUGCCGUCCUUUAGUUGCUUCACUUGGAACCCAAGGAAGUAGUUCAACUCGCCCAUCAUCGACAUCUCAAACUUUUGAGUCGUCACCCUGCUAAACUCCUCACAAGACUUUUUAUUAGUAGAACCAAAUAUUAUGUCAUCGACAUAAAUUUGGCAAACAAAAAGGUCACCAUUACAAGUCUUAGUGAAAAGAGUGGGAUCAGCUUUCCCAACCUUGAAAGCAUUAGCAAUUAAGAAAUCUCUAAGGCAUUCAUACCAUGCUCUUGGGGCUUGCUUAAGUCCAUAGAGCACCUUAGAGAGCUUAAACACAUGGUCGGGGUACCUGUCAUCCUCAAAGCCAGGGGGUUGUUCUACGUACACCUCCUCCUUUAUUGGCCCAUUGAGGAAAGCGCUCUUCACAUCCAUUUGAAACAACCUGAAAGAGUGGUGAGCGACAUAGGCUAAUAAUAUUCUAAUAGACUGUAGCCUAGCCACAGGAGCAAAGGUCUCCUCGAAAUCCAAACCUGCAACUUGGGCAUAACCUUUUGCCACAAGUCGAGCCUUUUUCUUGUCACCACCCCGUGCUCGUCUUGUUUGUUGUGGAACACCCACUUGUUUCCCACAACGUUUUGCUUUGGACGUGGCACCGGGCUCCAAACUUCAUUCCUUUUGAAGUUGUUGAGCUCUUCCUGCAUGGCCAACACCCAGUCCGGAUCCUGCAAGGCCUCUUCUACCCUGAAAGGCUCAAUAGAAGAGACAAACGAGUAAUGCUCACAAAAAUUAGCUAAUCUUGAGCGAGUAGUUACUCCCUUGCUUAUGUCACCCAGAAUUUGAUCGACGUGGUGAUUUCUUUGGAUCGUCGCUUGGACUUGGGUUGGAGGGGCACUUGGCGCCUCUUCCUCCAUCACUUGUUCUUGUGCUCCCCCUUGAUCACAUGCCUCUUCUUGAUGAACUUGUCCAUCAUCUUGAGUUGGAGGAUGCACCAUUGUAGAUGAAGAAGGCUGAUCUUGCUCCUGUUGUUCCUGUGGUCGCACAUCACCAAUUGCUAUCGUGCGCAUUGCGGCCAAUGGAACAUCAUCUUCAUCUAUAUCAUCAAGAUCAACUUGCUCUCUUGGAGAGCCAUUAGUCUCAUCAAAUACAACGUCGCUAGAGACUUCAACCAAACCCGAUGAUUUGUUGAAGACUCUAUACGCCUUUGUAUUUGAGCCAUACCCUAGUAAAAACCCUUCUACAGCUUUGGGAGCAAAUUUGGAAUGUCUACCUUUCUUCACCAAAAUGUAGCAUUUUCUCCCAAAUACACGAAAGUACGAUACAUUGGGUUUGUUACCGGUAAGGAGUUCAUAGGAGGUCUUCUUGAGGAGGCGAUGCAGAUAGAGCCGGUUUAUGUCGUGGCAAGCUGUGUUCACAGCUUCCGACCAAAACCGCUCGGGCGUCUUGAACUCUCCAAGUAUCGUCCUCGCCAUGUCGAUAAGCGUCUUGUUUUUCCUCUCUACCACACCGUUUUGCUGUGGUGUGUAGGGAACAGAGAACUCAUGCUUGACACCUUCCUCCUCAAGAUAUUCUUCAACUUGUAAGUUCUUGAACUCGAACUCGUUGUCUCUCCUUAUCUUUUUCACCUUGAGCUCAAAUUUGUUUUGAGCCCUCCUUAGAAAGCGCUUUAGCGUCCAUUGGGUUUCUGAUUUAUCCUGCAAAAAGAACACCAAGUGAAGCGGGAAAAUUCAUCUACAAUUACAAGACCAUACUUACUUCCCCCAAUAAUCCAGCUUAAGCCCCCAGAUGCAUAAACCUGCAAAGUAAGUUACACUUGGGUUUUAGGUACCCAACUCUUGUUGGGUCCUACAAGGUUAGUCACAAUAGCCUUUGGAUCCCAAAUACAAGUCUUAUCUCCCUUGCAUUUGGAUCCCAACUUCCUAGCAACUACUUUUUCAUUCUUACAACAAAUUGCAAAAGAAGUAUUGCAAGCAUGGUAAAUAGUAGAAGGUUCAUUACAUACUUUCCUAGGCACAUGAUGCACAACAUGAUUUCUCCUAGGCUUACUUCUACCAUGCACAAAAGUAGAGCUAGAAGCAAACAUAGCAUGUGAAUUAAACGCAUCAUAACUCCUAUUAUAAUGAGCAUUUCUAGAAAAUGUUCUAUCAUAAAUGUAAGCAUGACAUUUUUGAGAACUACUAGCCAUAGGAGCCUUCCAUUUCUCCUUGUUGAGAAUGGGAGCCCUUUGGCUUGUUAAGUUCUUGGUUUCCUUUUGAAAACCAAGUCCAUCCUUAAUAGAGGGGUGUCUACCAAUUGUGUAGGCAUCCCUAGCAAAUUUUAACUUAUCAAAAUCAACCUUGCAAGUCUUAAGUUGGGCAUUAAGGCUUGCCACCUCAUCAUUUAAUUUAGUAAUGGACGCAAGAUGUUCAUUACAAGCAUCAAUAUCAAAAUCCUUGCAUCUAUUACAAAUAACAACAUGCUCUAUACAAGAACUAGAUUUAUUAGCUUCCUCUAGCUUGGCAUUUAAAUCAUCAUUUAAACUUUUUAAACUAGAUACAGUUUCAUGGCAAGCAGACAUCUCAGAAGACAACACUUCAUUUCUUUUAAGUUCUAAGGCAAGAGACUUUUGAACACUAACAAAUUUGUCAUGUUCCUCAUACAAAAUGUCCUCUUGCCUCUCUAGCAGACUAUCUUUUUCAUUUAAAGCAUCAAUUAAUUCAUUGAUUUUAUCUACUUUUGCUCUAUCUAAACCCUUAAAUAAAUCAGUAUAAUCGACUUCAUCAUCACUAGAAUCAUCAUCGCUAGAAGUAGUAUACUUAGAGGUAUUUCGAACACUUACCUUCUUUUCCUUGGUCAUGAGACACGUAUGGCGUUCGUUGAGGAAGAGUGAAGACUUGUCGAAGGCUGAGGCGGCCAGUCCCUCAUCGUCGGAGUCAGAUGAAGAGCAGUCGGAGUCCCACUCCUUUCCAAGGUGUGCAUCGCCCUUCACCUUCUUGUAGUUCUUUUUCUUUUCACUCUUGCCGUGUUUUUCUUGUGCCUGGUCAUUCUCAUUAUCGGGACAUUGAGCAAUAAAGUGACCAGUCUUACUGCAUUUGAAGCAGGAGCGCUUUCCCCUUGUUUUGUUCUUGUUGGGGUACUCCUUGCGUCCUUUAAGUGCGGUCUUGAAGCGCUUGAUGAUAAGCGCCAUCUCAUCCUCGUUGAGGCCAGCAGCCUCUACUUGUGCCACCCUGCUUGGAAGCGCCUCCCUGCUGCUAGUAGCCUUAAAAGCCACAGGUUGAGGCUCGUAGACGAGUAGUGAACCGUUUAGCGCAUCGUCCACAUAUCGAGCCUCCUUCACCAUCAUGCGCCCGCUCACAAACUUCCCAAGAAUCUCUUCGGGCGUCAUCUUGGUUGAAAGGGAAUCAGGCUUACACCUUUUUCCUAAUUGAUUUUGGUGGUUGAAUUGCCCAACACAAAUAAUUGGACUAACUAGUUUGCUCUAGUCUAUAAGUUCUACAGGUGCCAAAGGUUCACAAUAAGCCAAUAAAAAGACCAAGAAAGGGGUCAAACAAAGAGAGCAAAAGACAACCCAAAGGCACCCUGGUCUGGCGCACCGGACUGUCCGGUGCACCAGGGCACUUGAAGCUGAACUCGCUACCUUCGGGAAAUUCCAAGGGCGCUCCGCUAUAAUUCACCGGACUGUCCGGUGAGUCACCGAAUAGUGUCCGGUGCACACCGGACUGUCCGGUGUGCCAGCGGAGCAACGACUACUUCGCUCGCAACGGUCGACUGCAACCGCAUUCAAUGUGCUACAGUGCGCGCCAGAGUCAGAGCACGCGCAGUUGGCGCACCGGACAGUCUAUAGGACCUGUCCGGUGCACCACCGGACAGCCCAGAGGCCCCACAAGUCAGAGCUCCAACGGUCAAACCCCAACGGUCUGCUGACGUGGCUGGCGCACCGGACAGUGUCCGGUGCGCCAUGCGACAGCAGUCUUCCAACGGCCAUCUUUUGGUGGUUGGGGCUAUAAAUACCCCCAACCACCCCACAUUCAUUUGCAUCCAAGUUUCUACACUUCUACACCUUACAAGAGCUAUAGCAUUCAAUACAAGACAGAACAAAGAGAUCAAAUCCUCUCCCAACUCCACACAAAGCUUUAGUGAUUAGAGAGAGGGAUUUGUUGUGUUCAUUUGAGCUCUUGCGCUUGGAUUGCUUCUUUUCUUUCUCAUUCUUCUUGUGAUCAAACUCAAUUGUAACCAAGGCAAGAGACACCAAUUGUGUGGUGGUCCUUGCGGGAACUUUGUGUUCCGUUUGAUUGAGAAGAGAAGCUCACUCGGUCUAAGUGACCGUUUGAGAGAGGGAAAGGGUUGAAAGAGACCCGGUCUUUGUGACCACCUCAACGGGGAGUAGGUUUGCAAGAACCGAACCUUGGUAAAACAAAUCAUCGUGUCUCACUCUUUAUUCGCUCACGAUUUGUUUUUUCGCCCUCCCUCUCAAACUCAUUUAUAUUUCUAACGCUAAUCCGGCUUGUAGUUGUGCUUAAGUUUAUAAAUUUCAGAUUCGCCCUAUUCACCCCCUCCUCUAGGCGACUUUCAAUUGGUAUCGGAGCCCGGUGCUUCAUUAGAGCCUAACCGCUCGAAGUGAUGUCGGGAGCAUCCGCCAUGAGGGAUCUCGGGACCGGCGACAAGACCGCAAGCUUGGGAAGAACACACUCAAGGGAGUCCGCCCACAAGCACAAGGAGGAAUCCUCUUCCUCCAUCAAGUCCCAUAGGAUGGGUGACAAGAAGAAGAAGAUGAGGAAGGUGGUCUACUACGAGACCGACUCUUCGUCACCCUCCACCUCCGGCUCGGAAUCAGCCUCCACCUUCAAAGCGCCAUGAGCGCAAGAAGUAUAGUAAGAUGCCCCUUCGCUAUCCUCGCAUUUCUAGACGCACUCCAUUACUCUCCGUUCCAUUAGGCAAACCACCUAUGUUUGAAGAUGAAGAUUAUUCUAUGUGGAGUGAUAAAAUGAGGCAUCACCUAACCUCACUCCACAAAAGCAUAUGGGAUAUUGUUGAGUAUGGAGUGCAGGUACCAAAGAAAGGAGACAAGGAUUACGACUCGGAGGAGGUCGAACAAAUCCAACACUUCAACUCUCAAGCCACAACUAUACUCCUCGCCUCUCAAAGUCGAGAGGAGUAUAAUAAGGUGCAAGGGUUGAAGAGCGCAAAGGAAAUUUAGGACGUGCUAAAGACCGCGCACGAGGGAGACGAGGUGACCAAGAUCACCAAGCGGGAGACGAUCGAGGGGGAGCUCGGUCGCUUCCGGCUUCGCCAAGGGGAGGAGCCACAAUAUAUGUACAACCGGCUCAAGACCUUGGUAAACCAAGUGCGCAACCUCGGGAGCAAAAAAUGGGAUGACCAUGAAAUGGUUAAGGUUAUUCUUAGAUCACUUGUGUUCCUUAACCCUACGCAACUUCAAUUAAUUCGUGGUAAUCCUAGAUAUACACUAAUGACUCCCGAGGAAGUAAUAGGAAACUUUGUGAGCUUUGAGUUGAUGAUCAAAGGCUCAAAGAAAAUUAUCGAGCAUGACGGCCCCUCCAUGCCCGAAGCACAACCGGUCGCAUUCAAGGCAACGGAGGAGAAGAAAGAGGAGUCUACAUCAAGUAGACAACCCAUCGACGCCUCUAAGCUCGACAAUGAGGAAAUGGCGCUCAUCAUCAAGAGCUUCCGCCAAAUCCUCAAACAAAGGAAGGGGAAAGAUUACAAGCUCCGUUCCAAGAUGGUGUGCUACAAGUGUGGUAAGCCCGGUCAUUUCAUUGCUAAAUGUUCUUUAUCUAGUGAUAGUGACAGGGGCGACGACAAGAAGGGCAAGAGGAGAGAAAAGAGGAGGUUUUACAAGAAGAAGGGCGGCGAUGCCCAUGUGUGCCGUGAGUGGGACUCCGACGAGAGAUCCUCCGACUCCUCAUCCGACGAGGAUGCCGCCAACAUCGUUGUCACCAAGGGACUCCUCUUCCCCAACGUCGGCCACAAGUGCCUCAUGGCAAAGGACGGCAAAAAGAAGAAGGUGAAAUCAAAAUCCUCCACCAAAUAUGCAUCCUCUAGUGAUGAAGAUAAUGCUAGUGAUGAGGAGGAUAAUUUGCGUACCCUUUUUGCCAACCUAAACAUGCAACAAAAAGAAAAACUAAAUGAAUUAAUUAGUGCUAUUCAUGAGAAGGAUGAUCUCUUAGACUCACAAGAGGACUUCCUAAUUAAGGAAAAUAAGAAGCAUGUUAAGGUUAAGAAUGCUUAUGCUCUAGAAGUAGAAAAAUGUGAAAAAUUAUCUAGUGAGCUAAGCACAUGCCAUGAUAUUAUUACCAACCUUAGAAAUGAGAAUGCUAGUUUAAUUGCUAAGGUUGAUUCAAAUGUUUGUGAUGCUUCAAAUCCCAAUCUUAGAGAUAAUAAUGUUGAAUUACUUGCUAAGAUUGAAGAAUUAAAUGUUUCUCUUGCUAGCCUUAGAAAUGAUAAUGAAAAAUUAAUUGCUAAGGCUAAAGAAAUAGAUGUUUGCAAUGCUUCCAUUUCCAAUCUUAGAGAUAACAAUGAUAUUUUACGUGCUAAGAUUGUUGAACUUAAUUCUUGCAAACCCUCUACAUCUACUAGUGAACAUGUCACUAUUUGCACUAGAUGUAGAGGUAUUAACAUUGAUGCUAUUCAUGAUCAUAUGGCUUUAAUUAAACAACAAAAUGAUCAUAUAGCAAAAUUAGAUGCUAAAAUUGCCGAGCAUGACUUAGAAAAUGAAAAAUUUAAAUUUGCUAGAAGCAUGCUCUAUAGUGGGAGACGCCCUGGCAUCAAGGAUGGCAUUGGCUUCCAAAAGGGGGACAAUGUCAAACUUAGUGCCCCUCCUAAAAGAUUGUCAAACUUUGUUAAGGGCAAAGCUCUCAUGCCUCAGGAUAACGAGGGUUACAUUUUGUACCCAGCCGGUUAUCCUGAGAGCAAAAUUAGGAGAAUUCACUCUAGGAAGUCUCACUCUGUCCCUAAUCAUGCUUUUAUGUAUAAGGGUGAGACAUCUAGCUCUAGGCAAUCAACCCGUGCAAAAUUGCCUAAGAAGAAAACUCCUAUUGCAUCAAAUAAUUCUAACAUUUCAUUUAAGACUUUUGAUGCAUCGUAUGUUUUAACUAACAAAUCCGGCAUGGUAGUUGCCAAAUAUGUUGGGGGCAAGCACAAGGGGUCAAAGACUUGUGUUUGGGUACCCAAAGUUCUUGUGUCUAAUGUCAAAGGACCCAAAACCAUUUGGGUACCUAAAAUCAAGAACUAAAUUUGUUUUGUAGGUUUAUGCAUCCGGGGGCUCAAGUUGGAUCAUCGAUAGCGAGUGCACAAACCACAUGACAGGGGAGAAGAAGAUGUUCUCCUCCUAUGAGAAAAACCAAGAUCCCCAAAGAGCGAUCACAUUCGGGGAUGGAAACCAAGGUUUGGUCAAAGGAUUGGGUAAAAUUGCUAUAUCUCCUGCCCAUUCCAUUUCCAAUGUUUUUCUUGUAGAUUCUUUAGACUAUAACUUGCUUUCAGUUUCUCAAUUAUGUAAAAUGGGUUACAACUGUUUUUUACGAAUAUAGGUGUUACUGUCUUUAGAAGAAGUGAUGAUUCAGUAGCGUUUAAGGGAGUGUUGGAGGGUCAGCUAUACUUGGUAGAUUUUGAUAGAGAUGAACUCAACACUUGCUUAAUUGCUAAGACUAACAUGGGCUGGCUCUGGCAUCGCCGACUAGCACAUGUUGGAAUGAAGAAUCUUCACAAACUUCUAAAGGGAGAACACAUUUUGGGACUAACAAAUGUUCAUUUUGAGAAAGACAGGAUUUGUAGCGCAUGUCAGGCAGGGAAGCAAGUUAGUGUUCAUCAUCCACACAAGAACAUCAUGACGACUGACAGGCCACUCGAGCUCCUACAUAUGGACCUUUUCGGCCUGAUAGCUUACAUAAGCAUCGGCGGGAGUAAGUACUGUCUAGUUAUUGUGGAUGAUUAUUCUCGCUUCACUUGGGUGUUCUUUUUGCAGGAAAAAUCUCAUACCCAAGAGACCUUAAAGGGAUUCUUGAGACGGGCUCAAAACGAGUUCGGCUUAAGGAUCAAGAAAAUUAGAAGCGACAACGGGACGGAGUUCAAGAACUCUCAAAUCGAAGGCUUUCUUGAGGAAGAGGGCAUCAAGCAUGAGUUCUCUUCUCCCUACACGCCACAACAAAAUGGUGUAGUGGAGAGGAAGAAUCGAACUCUAUUGGACAUGGCAAGAACCAUGCUUGAUGAGUACAAGACUUCGGAUCGGUUUUGGGCAGAGGCGGUCAACACCGCUUGCUACGCCAUCAACCGGUUGUAUCUACACCAAAUCCUCAAGAAGACAUCAUAUGAACUCCUAACCGGUAAAAAGCCCAAUGUUUCAUAUUUUAGAGUCUUUGGUAGCAAAUGUUUUAUUCUUGUUAAAAGAGGUAGAAAAUCCAAAUUUGCUCCUAAGACUGUAGAAGGCUUUUUACUAGGAUAUGAUUCAAACACAAGAGCAUAUAGAGUCUUUAACAAGUCCUCUGGACAAGUUGAAGUUUCUUGUGACAUUGUGUUUAAUGAGACUAAUGGCUCUCAAGUAGAGCAAGUUGAUCUUGAUGAGAUAGGUGAUGAAGAGGCUCCAUGCGUCGCACUAAGGAACAUGUCCAUUGGGGAUGUGUGUCCUAAGGAAUCCAAAGAGCCUCCACAAACACAAGAUCAACCAUCUUCCUCAAUGCAAGCAUCUCCACCGACUCAAGAUGAGGAUGAGGCUCAAAAUGAUGAAGGAAAAGAUCAAGGAGUUGAGCCACCUCAAGAGGAGAGCAAUGAUCAAGGGGGAGAUGCCCAUGAUCAAGAUGAGGAAGAUGAACAAGUUCCAAAACCACCACACCCAAGAGUCCACCAAGCAAUCCAACGAGAUCACCCCGUGAACACUAUCCUCGGCGACAUUCAAAAGGGGGUAACUACUCGAUCUCGUGUUGCUCAUUUUUGUGAACAUUACUCUUUUGUUUCCUCUAUUGAGCCACACAGGGUAGAGGAAGCACUUCAAGAUUCGGAUUGGGUGGUGGCAAUGCAAGAGGAGCUCAACAACUUCACUAGGAAUGAGGUAUGGCAUUUAGUUCCAUGUCCUAAUCAAAAUGUUGUAGGAACCAAGUGGGUCUUUCGCAACAAGCAAGAUGAGCAUGGUGUGGUGACAAGGAACAAAGCCCGACUUGUGGCCAAGGGGUAUUCACAAGUCGAAGGUUUGGAUUUCGGUGAAACCUAUGCACCCGUAGCUAGGCUAGAAUCAAUUCACAUUUUAUUUGCCUAUGCUACUUACCAUGGCUUUAAGCUUUACCAAAUGGACGUGAAAAGUGCCUUCCUCAAUGGACCAAUCAAGGAAGAGGUCUAUGUUGAGCAACCUCCCGGCUUUGAAGAUAGUGAGUACCCUAACCAUGUUUAUAAACUCUCUAAGGCGCUUUAUGGGCUCAAGCAAGCCCCCAAGAGCAUGGUAUGAAUGCCUUAGAGAUUUUCUUAUCACUAAUGGCUUCAAAGUCGGAAAAUCCGAUCCUAGUUUAUUCACUAAAACUCUUGACAAUGAUUUGUUUGUAUGCCAAAUUUAUGUUGAUGAUAUUAUAUUUGGGUCUACUAACGAAUCUACAUGUGAGGAAUUUAGUAGGAUCAUGACACAGAAAUUCGAGAUGUCUAUGAUGGGGGAGUUGAAGUACUUUUUGGGAUUUCAAGUGAAGCAACUCCAAGAGGGCACCUUCAUUAGCCAAACAAAGUAUAUUCAAGACAUUCUAAACAAGUUUGGGAUGAAGGAUGCCAAACCCAUCAAGACACCCAUGGGAACCAAUGGGCAUCUCGACCUCGACACGGGAGGUAAAUCCGUCGAUCAAAAGGUAUACCGAUCGAUGAUAGGCUCUUUACUCUACUUAUGUGCAUCUCGACCGAACAUUAUGCUUUCCGUAUGCAUGUGUGCAAGAUUCCAAGCUGACCCUAAGGAAGCUCACCUUACGGCUGUAAAACGAAUCUUGAGAUAUUUAGUUCAUACUCCUAAGUUUGGGCUUUGGUACCCUCGGGGAUCCACAUUUGAUUUAAUUGGUUAUUCGGAUGCCGAUUGGCCGGGGUGUAAGAUUAAUAAAAAGAGCACAUCGGGGACUUGCCAGUUCUUGGGAAGAUCCUUGGUGUCUUGGGCUUCAAAGAAGCAAAAUUUUGUAGCUCUUUCUACCGCCGAAGCCGAGUAUAUUGCCGCAGGUCAUUGUUGCGCGCAACUACUUUGGAUGAGGCAAACCCUUAGGGACUAUGGUUACAAAUUAACCAAAGUUCCUCUUCUAUGUGAUAAUGAGAGUGCAAUCCGCAUGGCGAAUAAUCCCGUUGAGCAUAGCCGCACUAAACACAUAGCCAUUCGGUAUCAUUUCUUAAGGGAUCACCAACAAAAAGGGGAUAUCGAGAUUGCUUACAUUAACACUAAAGAACAAUUAGCCGAUAUCUUUACCAAGCCACUGGAUGAACAAACUUUUAACAAACUUAGGCAUGAGCUAAAUAUUCUUGAUUCUCGGAAUUUCUUUUGAUGUUUUGCACACAUAGCUCAUAAGUAUACCUUUGAUCAUAUCUCUUUUAUAUGCUAUGACUAAUAUGUUUUCAAGUAUAUUUCAAACCAAGUCAUAGGUGUAUUAAAAGGGAAUUGGAGUCUUCGGCGAAGACAAAGGCUUCCAGUCCACUCCAUAACUCAUCCUUCGCCGUCGCUCCGAGCAACUCUCCAACUUUGGUAUAAUCUUCACUCAUAUUGUGUUCACCAAAAGGAGAGAAAGUAGUUAUAAGGGCUUAUAUUUCACUCAAGUAUCCGUUUUUGGCGAUUCAUGCCAAAGGGGAGAAAGUAUUAGCCCAAAGCAAAAAGACCGCACCACCACCCAUUUUCAAAAAGUUUUAAAAUGAUGAAUUUCUCAAUUGAUUUCUUAUUAUAUUCAAAAGAGGGAGAAAAUAGCACCUUCAAAAAUUGGUAUCUUAAAACCCUCUUAAACACUAAGAGGAGGAAUUUAUUGAGGGGGGUUUUGUUUAAGUCAAAGAAAAAGCAUUUGAAACAGGGGGAGAAAAUUUCAAAUCUUGACAAUGCUUCUCAAAAAAAAAAUUUAUUCAUUUACCUUUGACUAUUUGCAAAAGGACUUUGAAAACAAUUUACAAAAGAAUUUGCAAAAACAAAACAUGUGGUGCAAGCGUGGUCCAAAAUGUUAAAGUAAAGAAACAAUCCAUGCAUAUUCUAUGAAAAUAUUUAUUGGCUCAAUUCUAAGUAACCUUUGCACUUACAUUAUGCAAACUAGUUCAAUUAUGCACUUCUAUAUUUGCUUUGGUUUGUGUUGGCAUCAAUCACCAAAAGGGCGAGAUUGAAAGGGAAUCAGGCUUACACCUUUUUCCUAAUUGAUUUUGGUGGUUGAAUUGCCCAACACAAAUAAUUGGACUAACUAGUUUGCUCUAGUCUAUAAGUUCUACAGGUGCCAAAGGUUCACAAUAAGCCAAUAAAAAGACCAAGAAAGGGGUCAAACAAAGAGAGCAAAAGACAACCCAAAGGCACCCUGGUCUGGCGCACCGGACUGUCCGGUGCACCAGGGCACUUGAAGCUAAACUCGCUACCUUCGGGAAAUUCCAAGGGCGCUCCGCUAUAAUUCACUGGACUGUCCGGUGAGUCAUCGGACAGUGUCUGGUGCACACCGGACUGUCCGGUGUGCCAGCGGAACAACGGCUACUUCGCGCGCAACGGUCGACUGCAACUGCAUUCAAUGCGCUACAGUGCGCGCUAGAGUCAGAGCACGCGUAGUUGGCGCAUCGGACAGUCUACAGGACCUGUCCGGUGCACCACCGGACAGCCCAGAGGCCCCACAAGUCAGAGCUUCAACGGUCGAACCCCAACGGUCUGCUGACGUGGCUGGCGCACCGGACAGUGUCCGGUGGCGCACCGGACUGUCCGGUUCGCCAUGCGACAGCAGUCUUCCAACGGCCAUCUUUUGGUGGUUGGGGCUAUAAAUACCCCAACCACCCCACAUUCAAUUGCAUCCAAGUUUCUACACUUCUACACCUUACAAGAGCUAUAGCAUUCAAUACAAGACACACCAAAGAGAUCAAAUCCUCUCCCAACUCCACACAAAGCUUUAGUGAUUAGAGAGAGAGAUUUGUUGUGUUCAUUUGAGCUCUUGCACUUGGAUUGCUUCUUUUCUUUCUCAUUCUUCUUGUGAUCAAACUCAAUUGUAACCAAGGCAAGAGACACCAAUUGUGUGGUGGUCCUUGCGGGAACUUUGUGUUCCGUUUGAUUGAGAAGAGAAGCUCACUCGGUCUAAGUGACCGUUUGAGAGAGGGAAAGGGUUGAAAGAGACCCGGUCUUUGUGACCACCUCAACGGGGAGUAGGUUUGCAAGAACUGAACCUCGGUAAAACAAAUCAUCGUGUCUCACUCUUUAUUCACUCACGAUUUGUUUUUCGCCCUCUCUCUCGGACUCAUUUAUAUUUCUAACGCUAACCCGGCUUGUAGUUGUGCUUAAGUUUAUAAAUUUCAGAUUCGCCCUAUUCACCCCCCUCUAGGCGACUUUCAUUGGUGUACCUGGGAUUCUCACGAAUAAGGUUGACAAGAUGGGGAUCAAUUACGGUAAAUGACCUUAGCAUUAGUCGGACGACGUCGUGGUCCGUCCAUCUUGUGCUUCCAUAGCUCCUAAUUUUGUUGACCAGGGUCUUGAGCCUGUUGUAUGUUUGAGUUGGCUCCUCUCCCCUGAUCAUGGCAAACCUCCCCAGCUCGCCUUCCACCAGUUCCAUCUUGGUGAUCAUAGUGGCAUCAUUUCCCUCAUGUGAGAUCUUGAGGGUAUCCCAGAUUUGCUUGGCGUUGUCCAAGCCGCUAACCUUGUUGUAUUCAUCCCUGCAGAAAGAUGCUAGCAAAACAGUGGUAGCUUGUGCAUUCUUAUGAAUUUGUUCAUUAAUUAUCAUAGGGUUAUCCGUACUAUCAAAAUGCAUUCCAUUCUCAACGAUUUCCCAAAUGCUAGGAUGGAGAGAGAAUAGAUGACUACGCAUUUUAUGACUCCAAAAUGGGUAAUCCUCUCCAUCAAAGUGUGGGGGUUUUCCAAGAGGAAUAGAAAGUAAAUGGGCAUUUGAAUUGUACGGAAUGCGGGAAUAAUCAAAGGAAUAGUUUUAAUUAACCGUCUUUUUCUUUGAUGAAGAGUCAUCAUCGUCGUCGUCUCUUGGUGAAGAAGAAUAUUCAUCGCUGUCGUAGUAGACGAUCUUCUUGAUGCGCCUCUUCUUCUUCCCGUCCUUCUUCUUAAGACUCGAGCCAGAGUCAGUGGGCUUGUCGUUCCCUGGCUCGUUGAAGAGGGACUCCUUCUCCUUGUUGUUGACCACCAUCCCCUUUCCCUUAGGAUCCAUCUCUUCGGGCGAUUAGUCCCUUAGAUGAAGAGAACGACUCUGAUACCAAUUGAGAGCACCUAGAGAGGGGGGUGAAUAGGUGAUCCUGUAAAAUUCAACACUAAUAGCCACAAAACUUUGUUAUGUAAGUUAGAACGGCUAAGUAGCUUGAAGCGAGUUCUUGUGAACACAGAUAAUCAAAGGUAAAAGCACACAAGAGACACGCGAUUUUUAUCCCGUGGUUUGGCCAAGUAAUACUUGCCUACUUCCACGUUGUGGCGUCCCAAUGGACGAGGGUUGCACUCAACCCCUUUCAAGUGAUCCAAUGAUCAACUUGAAUACCACGGUUUUUCCUUUCUUUGUCUUUCUCCCAUUUGUGAGGAAUCUCCACAACUGGGAGCCUCUCGCCCUUACAAUGAUGAUCACAAAAGAUGUAUGGAAGUAAGGGAGGGGAGAGCAAUACACACAAGACUCAAAUCACAACACAAUCACGCACACAAGUCACAACUUGAGCUCAAAACACAACCCACGGAGUUCACAACUCAAAUGGAGCUCAAGUCACUAUCUCAAAGUAUCAAAUGUGCGAAGUUGGAGUCUUGGAGGCUUAGAAUGUUUCUUUAAUGCUUGGGUAGCUCCUCCAUGCGCCUAGGGGUCCCUUUUAUAGCUCCAAGGCAGCUAGGAGCCGUUGGAGGCCAACAAGGAAGGCUAUCUUUGCCUUCUGUCGGGUGGCGCACCGGACAGUCAGGUGCGCCACCGGACAGUCACUAUAGACGGUCCGGUGUUGAUCUUCUUCCUAUUCUGGCACAGACGACCAUUGCAGAUUCAUGGCAGUUGGCGCACCGGACACUGUCCGGUGCACACCAGACAGUCCGGUGCCUCCUGCCGACCGUUGGCGCGGGCCACGCGUCGCUCGCGGAUUGCGCGGCCGACCGUUGCGCUGGCAACCAUUGGCUCACCGGACAGUCCGGUGCACCACCGAAUAGUCUGGUGAAUUAUAGCCUUACGCCGCCGAUUUUCCCGAGAGUGGCCUGUUCACCGGAAGCCAGCCUGGCGCACCGGACACUGUCCGAUGCACCACCGGACACUGUCCGGUGUGCUAGACUGAGCUGGACUUCGGCUGUACACAGCCAAGUCACUUGCAAUCCUUUUCUUCUUUUCUUUUCUCUGUUUCUAGCACUUAGACAAAAUAUGUUAGUACUCAAAACAAUGUACUAAGUCUAGAAACGUACCUUGUUACAUGAUUUACACUUUUUGCUUGUUUGGCACAUAAUAUCUCACUCACCAUGUGUUGGCCACUUAAUCACCAAAACAUUAUAGAAAUGGCCCAAGGGCGCAUUUCCCUUUCACUCACAAAAAUUAGCUAAUCGUGAGUGAGUUGUUACUCCCUUGCUUAUGUCACCCAGAAUCUAAUCCACUGGGUGAUUUCUUUGGAUCGUCGCUCGGACUUGAGUUGGAGGGGCCCGUGAUGCUUCUUCCUCCAUAACAUGUUCUUCCUGUGCUCCCCUUUAAUCAUGUCCUUCUUCUUGAGGUACCUGUUCAUUGUCUUGAGUUGGAGGAUGCACCAUCAUAGAGGAAGAGGGUUGAUCUUGUUCCUGUAGUUCCUGUGGUCGCACAUCACCUAUCGCCAUAGUUCGCAUUGCGGCCGUCGGAACCUCGUCUUCAUCUACAUCAUCAAGAUCAACUUGCUCUCUUGGAGAGCCAUUUGUCUCAUCAAAUACAAUGUCGCUAGAGACUUCAACUAAUCCUGAUUUGUUGAAGACCCUAUACGCCUUUGUAUUUGAGUCAUAUCCUAGUAAAAACCCUUCUACUGCUUUGGGAGCAAAUUUUGAAUGUCUACCUUUCUUCACCAGAAUGUAGCAUUUGCUCCCAAAUACACGAAAAUAAGAAACAUUGGGUUUGUUACCAGUUAGGAGUUCGUAGGAGGUCUUCUUGAGGAGACGGUGCAGAUAGAGCCAGUUUAUGGCAUGGCAAGCUGUGUUCACAGCUUCCAACCAAAACCGUUGAGGCGUCUUGUAUUCUCCAAGCAUCGUCCUUGCCAUAUCAAUUAGCGACCUCUUCUUCCUUCUACCACAUCGUUUUGCUGCGAUGUGUAGGGAGCGGAGAACUCAUGCUUGAUGCCUUCCUCCUCAAUAUAUUCCUCGACCUGAAGAUUCUGGAAUUCAGACCCGUUGUUGCUUCUUAUCUUCUUUACCUUUAGCUCAAAUUUGUUUUGAGCUCUCUUUAGGAAGCGCUUUAGGGUUACUUGGGUUUCAGAUUUAUCCUGUAAAAAGAACACCCAAGUGAAGCGGGAAAAGUCAUCUACAAUAACAAGACCAUACUUACUUCCCCUGAUGCUGAGAUAGGCAACGGGCCGAAGAGAUCCAUGUGUAGGAGCUCCGGUGGUCUUGAUGUCGUCAUCACAUUCUUGCUGUGAUGAGUGCCUCCCACCUGCUUUCCUGCCUGGCAUGCUAUACAAGGUCUGUCUUUCUCAAAACAGAUAUCUGUUAGUCCUAACACAUGAUCUCCCUUUAUAAGUUUAUGAAGGUUCUUCAUCCCAACAUGUGCUAUACGGCGAUGCCAAAGCCAGCCCAUAUUAGUCUUAGCGAUUAAGCAUGCAUCUAGAUCUGCAUUCUCGUUUGAGAAAUCAACUAAAUAGAACUUGCCGUCUAAUACACCCUUAAAAGCUAAUGAACCAUCACACCUUCUAAAGACAGAUACAUCAAUAUUUGUAAAUAAACAAUUGUAGCCCAUUUGACACAAUUGACUUACAGACAAUAAAUUAUACCCAAGCGACUCUACUAAAAACACAUUUGAUAUUGAGUACUCGGUUGUGAUGGCUAUCUUGCCCAAUCCUUUAACCUUGCCUUGAUUCCCAUCUCCAAAAAAUGAUGGUGUCUUGGGAAUCCCUGUUUUUGACAUAGGAAGUGAACAUUUUCUUCUCCCCCGUCAUGUGGUUUGUGCAUCCGCUAUCGAUAAUCCAGCUUGAUCCCCCGGAUGCAUAAACCUGCAAGGCAAUUAAGCUUGGGUUUUAGGUACCCAACUCUUGUUGGGUCCUACAAGGUUAGUUACAACAACUUUUGGAACCUAGAUGCAAUUUUUGUCUCCCUUGUAUUUAGAUCCCAAUUUUCUAGCAACUACUUUGGCAUUUUUCCAUAACAAUACAAAAGAAGCAUUACAUGUUUGAUACAUAGUAGUUGGACCAGUGUAAACUUUCCUAGGUGCACGAGAAAUAGUAUGAUUGUGCCUAGGCCUACUCUUAUCAUGAACAUAUGUGGAACUAGAAGCAAACAUAGCAUGUGAAUCAUGAUAAGUAGGUAAAGCAACAUGAUUAUAAUAUUUAUCAUGAUGAGAAAUUUUCUUCGCAUGAGCAUAAAGAUAAGCAUGGUUCUUUUGAUCAUGUGAAGAAUACAAGCUGCUAGCCAUAGGGGCCUUCCCUUUCUCCUUGUUGAGACCGGAAGUCCUUUGGCUUGUUAAGUUCUUGGUUUCCUUUUGAAAACCAAGUCCAUCCUUAAUUGAGGGGUGUCUACCAAUAGUGUAGGCAUCCCUAGAAAAUUUUAACUUCUCAUAGUUAUCCUUGCAAGUCUUAAGUUGAGCAUUAAGACUUGCAACCUCAUUGUUUAACUUAAUAAUGGAAGAAGCAUAUUUAUUACAAGCAUCAACAUCCAGGUCUUUACAUCUACUGCAAAUAACAACAUGCUCUACACAUGAACUAGUUUCAUUUACUUUCUCUAGCUUAGCAUUCAAAUCAUCAUUUAAAUUCUUUAAGCUAGAAAUGGAUUCAUGACAGGUAGACAAUUCAGAGGAUAGUAUUUCAUUUUUUUUGACUUCUAUAGCAAGAGAUUUUUGGAUACUAAUAAAUUUAUCAUGUUCCUCAUACAAAAUAUCUUCUUGCUUUUCUAGCAAUCUAUCCUUUUCAAUAAGAGCAUCAAUUAAUUCAUUUAUUUUGUCUACCUUAGUUCUGUCUAAUCCCUUAAACAAAUCAGUAUAAUCUACUUCAUCAUCAGACGAUUCUUUAUCACUAGAAGAGGUAUAUUUGGGAGUGUCUCGAAUACAUACCUUCUUAUCCUUAGCCAUAGGGCACGUAUGGCGUUCGUUGGGGAAGAGUGAAGAUUUGUUGAAGGCCGAGGCAACUAGUCCUUCAUCUUCGGAGUCGGAUGAAGAACAGUCGGAGUCCCAUUCCUUCCCGAUGUGCGCCUCGCCUUUGGCCUUCCUAUAGUUUUUCUUCUUUUCCAUCUUCCCAUGCUUCUCUUGUGCCUGGUCAUUAUCGUUAUCGGGGCAUUGUGCAAUAAAGUGACCAGUCUUACCGCAUUUGAAGUAGGAGCGUUUUCCCCUUGACUUGUUCUUGUUGGGGUACUCCUUGUGUCCUUUUAGUGCGGUCUUGAAGCGUUUGAUGAUGAGCGCCAUCUCAUCCUCAUUAAGCCCGGUAGCCUCCACUUGUGCUACUUUGCUAGGUAGCGCCUCCUUGCUGCUAGUUGCUUUGAGAGCAACAGGCUACGGCUCGUUGACGGGAAGUGGACCAUUCAAGGCAUCGUCCACAUAUCGUGCUUCUUUCACCAUCAUGCGCCCGCUCACAAAUUUUUCGAGGAUUUCCUCGGCUGUCAUCUUGGUGUACCUAGGGUUUUCACGAAUAAGAUUUACAAGAUGGGGGAACCGUAAAUGACCUGAGCAUGAGUCGGACGACAUCAUGAUCCGUCCAUCUUGUACUCCUGUAGCUUCGGAUUUUGUUGACAAGGGUUUUUAGCCUGUUGUAUGUCUGUGUUGGCUCUUCUCCCCUUAUCAUCACAAAUCUCCCCAGCUCGCCUUCCACCAGUUCCAUUUUGGUGAUCAUAGUGGCAUCAUUCUCCUCGUGAGAAAUCUUGAGGGUGUCCCGGAUUUGUUUAGCGUUGUCCAAGCCGCUGAGCUUGUUAUAUUCAUCCCUGCAUAGAGAUGCUAGCAAAACAGUAGUGGCUGGGGCAUUCUUAUUGUAACACCCCUGGUGUUACGAGAACUAAAACCUUGGCAUGUCAUCAUAUGCAUCAGCAUCAUUUUGAUUGAUACACCUAGAAUGCAUUUCACUAGGUCAAAAUUUUCAAACCAUAUGUGGUGUGUUGUCUUGUUGAGAGCCAAAGGAGUUUGAAGAGUUAGUGAGUGGUCGAGUGAAAGCAAACUACUUCCAAGCUAAAAAUGUCUUGGCCAUGAAAUCCAAGUACUAAAAUUGAACUUUGAGGUGAAGUGUAAUCUUGCUUUAAGUAAGGGAUCAGACUGGUGAGAUUUGUCUGGAGAAAAGCAAUCUCAAAUGAAACACUAAAGUAGCCCAAAGUGGAAUUUUAAAUCUAGAGAGAAUUUGCUAAAGAUCCAUAUAUCAAAGUUGUAGAGUUUGGAGAGCUGAACAACUUUCAUGUAUGGAGAACUCCAUGUUUUAGAGGAAAAGUUGGAGUAAUAUGCUUAAAUCAAUUUUGAAUCAGAUUUGAAGUUUGCUGAAAAUAAUAUCAACUAGCUGUUUUUGGGUCCUCAUAACUUUUGAUCUAUGAACGGUUUGAAGGUGGACAUUAUAAUAAGGUUGUAGAGCUACACUAGGGAUACAAAUUUGCUCAGACAACCUGUCCCUAAAACCAUGUGAAACUGGGUGUAAAACUAGUCCAAAAUGGGGUUGUAAUACUUGUGGAGUUUCAGACUUAGUGCAAUCUCUGAAACUGAAGAUUUUAUAUUCUGAAGCAAACUUGGAGGCCUGUUAGUGGCUGAUACAUACAGCUAUGGGUUAAAGUUUAUGUACCAAGGUGGAAUACCACAUGUUGGUGUAUAAGUUUGGUUAAAGGUUAUGCCCCUAAAGAUGUAUGGAACUGGGAGAAACAAUGGCCCAAAGAUGCAAUGUGCUGUUCUGGAUUUCAGACUUAGUGAAAAACCAGAACCUGAAACUGUGUGUUUUGGUGCAAUUUGGAAACCCUUUUGAGUUUAAUCCAUAGAGUUGUGAGCCAUACUACUUGUGUCAAAGUUGAAGAGUGUAUAUCAGUGAACAAGUUCCUUUAAGGAAGGUUGGCUUGGUACUGCAUAAAAAGUGGAGCAAUAGUUGCUUAAAAUAGGGGCUGUCAGACUUCUAGAUUUUUCAGAUUUUGCAUAGUGUCUGAAUUCUAAAUCAGUGUUGGGAGUGCUGUUUGGGGAGCUUGUUCUGCUUAAUCAAUAAGGUUUUGGACUGAAGUUUUUGUAGAAAGUUUGAAGACCAUAUGUUAGUGAAUAAGUACCUUUAAGUAUGUUGGGUGUGAUCCCACACCAAAAGUGAAGUAAUGGUUGUCCAAAGUUGGACUUUCAGUCUGCGGUGACAGAAGGUUAUUCAGUCAACUGUAGCUUUGAUCCAGUGUGAUUUUCCAAAUUUUUGGAGCUAUUUUGUGACUAAUCCUUGGAGUAUUAAGCCAUAUCAUUAUAAGCAGAGUUGAAGAACAUAUAUUAGUGUGCAAGUUGAUGUGGGGAGGUAGCUCUGUCUCUAUGAAGAAAUGGGAGCAAAAGAAGGAUGAAUCUGGCUCUGCAGUCGAACUGAAGAAGUUCAGAGCAGUUAGUGUAGUCUGAAAUUUCAGACUAGAAAUAGUAACUGGCAGAGACUGAAUCUCAGUGUUGGUGCUCAGUUUAGAGUCCCUGUGCAGCCAAUCCCUGUGGUUUUGAAUUGAGAGUUUUGAAGCAAAAUGGGAGAUCAUGUAUAGGUUCAUAAAUUCCUUUAAGUCAUCUGGACCUGGUACUACAUAAACUUAGGAGAAAAGGGGUCACAAAAUGGCUCUGUCAGACGUUAAUGGCUGUUGAUUGGUUCAGAUAAGGAAGUUCGAGCUCAGAGUAAUGUACCCCACUUGUGGGUACUCUAGAUUUGAUUAUAGGUCUUUUUAGCCUAUACAAACUACAGUAACCGGGAAAAGCUAUGUUUACUGAAUAAUCUUGGGGCAAUGAAGUGGGCAUGUUGUGUUAAGAAUAAAGAGAAAAGGGGAGCUGAACUUGAGGUUUCAGUCGAGUAAAACAGCAGGAGCAGUUUCAGAAUAAUCUGAUGGAAGUAUCUCCAUCCACCAAAUUGAUAUAGGGAAUUCUAGGAUAUGCCAGCCCAAAAGAGACUUAUGAGAAAGGAAAGUUUAUUGUCAAAAAUUCACCACCCCGAGGAUAGAUGCAGGAAGGGUGCAAAGCCUAUCUCUUGGAUGAUUCAGCUGCUUCACUGUUGAUGAGGUGUCAUACAUGCAGUAAAGGUGUGCUGGACUUUUUCCCUGAGCUUCCACCUUGCGUGGUAAACAUGCAGGUGUGUGUUGGGGAUUGUUAAUUCUCAUUUUCCCUCUGAAAUAGCCCCUGCCCGACCUCCAUUAAGCCAACUCUUGUUAUGCUAGUUUGGAGCCCAAACUGAAUUGCUUGUGCUCUCGACGAUUUCCUGGUUUCCCCACUGUGCCUCCCUCGUGCAGCAGCAGUAGCGCUCGGCUCAGCUCCCUUCCUUCAUCACACAAAGCCCCACUUCGUCGUGCCUCCACCCUGCUUGGCUUUCCCCAUCAUACGUGGCUGCUGAGCACCUCGCCGAGGCUACAGCAGCGCUCAGCACAGGUCUUCCCUGGCGCCUGCCUCAUGGGUUCGCCGUAGAUUUUUUUUUGGAACUGCCGACCAUGUACUUAGUAUUAUUGUUGUCAUUAUCCCCUGCAGCUCCGGCCCGCCGGCGGUUCUCUCUACUCGACCUCCCUCAUCACUGCAUCUGCACAUACGCCGCUGCUUGCCGCGCUCCCUGGUGUGCGAGCUUGCCGGCACCCAGUCCUCCUCUCCACGCCAGAGUCCUUACCUCACCAUCAAGACAUCGUCGUCGCGCCGUCGUACGUUAUCUAGCUCCUUAGCACAGCACCGUCCUCCGACUCGACGUCUUUGCGUCCGUAGAACUUGCUAUCGUCGUUGGGUAAUUGCACCUUGGUGAUUGGCAUGGUUGCGUGUGUGUUUGGAUUAAUCGUAGCAUAGUUUUAUGUCCCGGGAAAGAUUGUCCGCGACUGUUUAUAGCUGGCUUGUGGUUCACACCAUCAGCUUGGGCUUUGUGAUGUGCGUGUGAAUCGUAGUGGUGCGAUCAGUGGAUGAAAGGAAUUAGUUGGUGAAGAAACAAGUUUACAUAAAAGGCCAUUGAUUUUGGUAUAGUCUAGAGAGUUGUUUUGCUAUCUUCUUUGCAAAUUACAAAAGCAUAAGCAUUCAUAUUCAUAUCAUUUCGUGUAGAGCUCCCAGAAAAGGAAGUUGAAAUUCAAGAAGUGGUUCCUGAAGAGGAGUCUGCUCCAGUGUUGUAGAUCCAGUGGUGGAGUCCCAUCUAACUGUAGAAAGAUUUUGGAUCUUUUCUGCAAUAAGGCAAGCCCCGGUGCAUUUGUCACCUUCCUUGUGUUUACAAAAUUUUAUCACUUAUAUGCUGCAUUAGGUGGUAGAAGUUGAUUGAUUAAACACUUGAUGCAUUACCAUUCCUUGAAAAGAUUCAUCACCAUAUCUUGUCACCUAUUUUAUAAAAGCUAGAGAUGCUUAGUCAUGCUGAUAGAUUAAGAAAAAUAUUUUUAAUCUAUGACUCAUGUUUUUACAAACAAGAAAAUGGGCUUGGGAUAAUGAAGGCCUCAAGACGUUGAUAAAUUCAUUAUCCAGGCAUGGCCCCUCUGUCAGGCGCCAAAGUUUUGAAAUAGUUUAAAAUGGGACCAGAAGUUGAGCAGGAAAGGUCACCCGUCUGUGUCGAUUAAGGACCGUACCGAUUGUUGGCCUGAUGAUCUAGGACCUUUUAACUGGCCACAUACCUCGUCAUGGGUAAGCCUGAACCCGGCUAUUCCAUACGUGAAAAGACAACCACGCACUGGGCGUGGGAGACGGUGGGAGUAGCAGUUACCCUCCUGGCAAGAAGCUGAAUGGUAGGGUAAUGUGCUCCCGGGUAGCGCGGACCGGUUCAUAUAGUGGAGGAUCCGUGGGAAUGGUUGACAUAUGCAAGGGUUAAGUGCUACAUAUGUCGUGUGGUUGGAGAUCCCCAGCUGGGUAUUAAUCGAUUCAGAUCGUCGUUACUUCUCGGAUAUGAAGACUGGAUCGCUGCCCUUCAUCGUAGAUAACAAGCGAAACAAAAAUUUUGAUUUUAAAAGAAAGUUAGUAUAGGACAAGUGAAUGCUCUAGAUUAGGCUAAUCUAGAUUCAGGAAAAGUACUUAACUUGUGAUGUAAAAUUUUGGCAUAAGGAUCCACUACUAGUAAGCUUUUCUGCAAAAAUGAGUCUUUGAAAUUUGAUAAGCUUUACCUUGAUUCCCGACAAACCAGCAUACCCUUGAGAGUCUUUUCUUUAGUCGGGUAAGUCUUGCUGAGUAAUUGCGUACUCAGGGUUUUAUUCCCUGUUGUUUUUCAGGUUGAAAUUUUGUUCUGUUGUGGAUGGUGCUAAGUGCCGGUGGGCUCGGCCUUCUUAUAUAAGUAUAUCCCUUCUAUAGUUUCUUUAAUGAGGAUUGUCACUUAAGCUAGCAUGUAUUUCAAAUUUACAAAUAUUCUAUAACAUUUUAAAGUGUAAUUCUUUUGAAACACUUUCUUUUGUAAUCACUCCGAUGAGGUAUAAUAAAAUCUUGAUAAACUUGUAAUCAUUUUGUAAUAAAGAGUUUAUUUCCGCUGCAA
Molecule: long non-coding RNA, 67592 nt
Filed under: Zea mays
Lineage: Eukaryota; Viridiplantae; Streptophyta; Magnoliopsida; Poales; Poaceae
Description: long non-coding RNA (ZMAY_LNC004418)
Source: RNAcentral